This 73979-nucleotide long non-coding RNA is filed under the name Vitis vinifera (wine grape). RNAcentral describes it as "long non-coding RNA (VVIN_LNC006253)". Lineage: Eukaryota; Viridiplantae; Streptophyta; Magnoliopsida; Vitales; Vitaceae. The record is from RNAcentral.
AAAAAAAAAAAAAAAAAAGUUGAAUAUGUAAAGCUUGUUUGGCUUGUUUUUAAAAAAAUUUAACAUCAUUUGGCUGUUGUUAUCUGAAAACAAUUUUUAAAAACAAAGUGAAAUAAAGAAUAAUUUUUAAAGAACAAGUAUAAGUUGUUUUCACUAAUUUAUAAAAAUAAAAAGAAAAUAUAGACUUGUUUGACCAUAUUUAAAUAAAAAAAAAACAAGUUUUUAAAAACUGUACAUAUAAAGAUAUGAACAUUUUACAAUUUUUUCUUUCUUUUUCUCUUAUAGUCCAUGGUAUGAAUGAAAGUUUUCCAAGUCGUCCAUAAUUUCCAAGUCUUCUAUCAUUUUCUAUCGAUCAUUGCUUUUUGACCUCCUUAUAUUUUUAAGAUCUUGUCCUCCAUUCACGCCAUCAUACUGAUGGACUAGAGAUAUCAUUAUUAUAUUCUUUUAUUCCCAUUAUUGUAAAAUAGAUAUUUUAAAUUUUAUUUUUCAUUUUUUGAAUUUAAUAAUAUCUAGUAGCAAAAUAAAGUAAUUUAAAUCCUAAAAAUGUGUGUUUAUAGGAUAUUUGCUAUUAUUACUAAUCAUAGAUAACAAAACUGUUGAUUGUAUUAAUUGUAUACAAGUUAAAAAAAUAAAAUUGACCUUUGGAUCAAAGAAAAUAUUAAAAUGAUUAAAACUAAAAUAAAAAUAAAUUCAAUGAUUUAAACACAAAUAAAAAUGUAAUUCAAAUUAUUUGAAGUUCAUAUAUUUUCAAAAAUAAAAAUAAAAAUUGUGAAAGAUGUGUUGGGCUUUGUGGAGCCUAGUUUUCUUUGAUCUAGUUUGAUGACCCGACUCGAAUAAUAUUGCAUGACUUUUUAAUGGGAGAUUUAUUGAGGCUUGUUGGGCCCGUUUAGCCCAUUGUGGAACCACCUUUUGUAAUUAGGGUUUUUUAGUAUGGUGGGGUUGCCGUGUUAUAUAUAUAGAGAGAAUAUUGUAGCCGCUAGGUUGUACUCUAUAUUCUUCUCUAAUAAUAGUGAUAUCCCUGCAAUUCCGUGGACGUAGGCAAAUUGCCGAACCACGUAAAUACUGUCUUGUGCGUGUGAUUGUUUUUUUUUUCUUUGGCGUGUGUUUUCUCUAAUUUUUGUUUCUCAUGGGUUGGGAAUUCGGUUUAAUUCCCUACAACUAGUAUCAGAGCCUAGGGUUAGGUUUGAGUGGGAGCAAUGGCAGAGGAAGCAGGAAAGGCAUCUGGAAUAGAAAAUUUUGAUAGCACAAACUUUGCGUAUUGGAGGAUGUAGAUUGAAGACUAUCUCUAUGGGAGGAAAUUGCAUCUGCCUCUUUUGGGGACAAAACCUGAGAGUAUGAAGGCUGAGGAAUGGACGCUUCUUGACAGACAAGUUCUAGGAGUUAUUAGGUUAACUCUGUCUAGGUCUGUUGCACAUAAUGUUGUAAAGGAGAAGAUCACAACAGAUUUAAUGAAGGCUUUGUCCGAUAUGUAUGAAAAGCUGUCCGCAAACAAUAAGGUGCAUCUGAUGAAGAAAUUGUUCAAUUUGAAGAUGGCAGAGAAUGCAUCAGUAACACAACAUUUGAAUGAAUUUAAUAUAAUCACAAAUCAAUUGUCGUCUAUAGAAAUUGAUUUUGAAGAUGAGAUUCGUGUUCUGAUCGUCUUGGCUUCUUUGCCAAACAGUUGGGAGGCAAUGAGGAUGGCAGUAAGCAAUUCUAUGGGAAAGGAAAAACUCAAGUACAAUGAUAUACGAGAUUUAAUUCUAGCUGAGGAGAUUCGCCGAAGAGAUGCAGGUGAAACCUCAGGAUCUGGUUCUACCUUAAACCUUGAGACAAAAGGCAAAUGUAAUGACAGAAAUUCAAAUCGGGGUAGAUCAAAUUCCAGAAAUUCUAAUCGAAACAGAAGCAAAUCUACAUCAGGCCAACAAGUACAAUGCUGGAAUUGUGGGAAAACAGGCCACUUUAAAAGACAAUGCAAAAGCCCUAAGAAGAAGAAUGAAGAUGAUUCUGCUAAUGCUGUAACAGAAAAGGUACAUGAUGCAUUACUUCUUGCAGUAGACAGUCCACUUGAUGAUUGGGUUUUGGAUUCAGGAGCUUCGUUUCAUACCACUUAACACCGAGAAAUCAUACAGAAUUAUGUUACAGGUUAUUUUGGUAAGGUGUAUUUAGCUGAUGGUUGGAUGUUGUGGGUCUAGGAGACGUCCGGAUAUCAUUGCCCAAUGGGUCUGUUUGGUUACUGGAGAAGGUUUGACAUAUUCCUGACCUGAGGAGGAAUCUGAUUUCUGUUAGACAACUUGAUGAUGAAGGACAUGCAAUACUAUUUGUUGGUGGUACUUGGAAGGUUACAAAGGGAUCUAGGGUAUUGGUUCGUGGAAAGAAGACUAGUACUUUGUAUAUGACCUCAUGUCCAAGAGACACAAUUGCAGUUGCUUAUGCAAGUACUGAUACAAGCCUAUGGCACCGCAGACUUGGUCACAUGAGUGAGAAAGGGAUGAAGAUGUUGCUGUCAAAAGAAAAACUACCAAAAUUGAAGUCCAUUGAUUUUGACAUGUGUGAAAGUUGCAUAUUAGGAAAGCAAAAAAAGGUGAGCUUCUUGAAAAUUGGCAGGACACCGAAGGCUAAAAAAUUAGAACUAGUACACACUGAUUUGUGGGGGCCUUCUCCGGUUGCAUAGCUAGGAGGUUCAAGGUACUACAUCACUUUUAUUGAUGACUCAAGUAGAAAGGUAUGAGUUUAUUUUCUGAAAAAUAAAUCUGAUGUAUUUGAAACUUUUAAGAAGUGGAAGGCCAUGGUUGAGACAGAAACAGGUUUGAAAAUAAAAUGUUUGAGGUCAGAUAAUGGAGGAGAGUACAUAGAUGGAGGGUUCAGUGAGUAUUGUGCUACACAGGGAAUUAGGAUGGAGAAAACCAUUCUUGGGACACCAUAGCAGAAUGGUGUGGUUGAGCGCAUGAACAGAACUCUCAAUGAGCGUGCUAGAAGUAUGAGGUUGCAUGUUGGACUAUCAAAAACUUUUUGGGUUGAUGCUGUUAGCACUGCAGCUUACCUGAUAAACCGAGGACCAUCAGUUCCCAUGGAGUUCAGACUUCCUAAGGAGGUUUGGAGCGGUAAAGAGGUGAAGUUUUCACAUUUAAAAGUUUUUGGUUGUGUAUCUUAUGUUCAUAUUGAUUUUGAUGCUCGUAGUAAACUUGAUGCAAAGUCAAAAAUAUGUUUUUUCAUUGGCUAUGGUGAUGAGAAAUUUGGCUAUAGGUUUUGGGAUGAACAAAAUAGGAAAAUCAUCAGAAGUAGAAAUGUGAUAUUUAAUGAACAGGUUAUGUACGAGGACAGGUCAAUUGUAGUGUCAGAUGUUAUAGAGAUAGAUCAAAAGAAAUCUGAGUUUGUCAACUUAGAUGAAUUGACUGAAAGUACUGUCCAAAAAGGGGGUAAAGAAGAUAAGGAGAAUGAAAAUUCACAGGUAGAUUUGAGUACACCUGUAGCUGAAGUUCGCAAAUCUUCCAGGAACAUUAGACCUUCGCAGCGUUAUUCACCUGUUUUAAAUUAUCUCCUGUUGAUUUAUGGUGGUGAGCCAAAGUGUUAUGAUGAAGCCUUGCAAGAUGAGAAUUCAAGCAAGUGGGAGUUAGCCAUGAAGGAUGAGAUGGAUUCCCUGUUGGGGAAUCAGACAUGGGAACUGACUGAAUUGUCAGUAGGAAAGAAGGCUUUGCACAACAAGUGGGUAUACAAAAUAAAGAAUGAGCAUGAUGGUAACAAACGUUACAAGGCCAGAUUAGUUGUUAAAGGGUUCCAGUAGAAGGAGGGCAUUGACUACACAGAGAUAUUUUCUCCAGUUGUGAAGAUGUCAACAAUUAGACUUAUACUUGGAAUGGUAGCUACAGAAAACUUACAUCUUGAGCGGUUAGAUGUGAAGACAGCAUUCCUUCAUGGUGACUUGGAGGAAGACCUUUACAUGAUUCAGCCAGAAGGAUUCAUUGUUCAGGGACAAGAGAAUCUAGUCUGCAAACUAAGAAAGAGCUUGUAUGGCCUUAAACAAGCUCCUAGACAGUGGUACAAGAAGUUUGACAAUUUUAUGCAUAGAAUUGGGUUCAAGAGAUGUGAAGCUGAUCACUGUUGCUAUGUUAAGUCCUUUGACAAUUCUUACAUCAUAUUACUGUUGUAUGUGGAUGAUAUGCUUAUUGCAGGGUCUGACAUUGAGAAGAUUAAUAAUCUGAAGAAGCAAUUGUCCAAACAGUUUGCAAUGAAGGAUUUGGGAGCUGCAAAGCAAAUCCUUGGUAUGAGAAUCAUUAGAGACAAGGCUAAUGGUACAUUAAAGCUUUCACAGUCAGAGUAUGUGAAGAAAGUUCUCAACAGGUUCAACAUAAAUGAAGCUAAACCAGUGAGCACACCCUUGGGUAGUCAUUUCAAACUAAGCAAAGAAUAGUCACCGAAGACAGAAGAAGAAAUGGACCAUAUGAGCAAGGUGCCAUAUGCCUCAACUAUUGACAGCUUGAUGUAUGCUAUGGUGUGUACAAGGCCAGACAUUGCACAUGUAGUGGGAAUUGUGAGCAUAUUCAUGAGUAGGCUUGGAAAGCAGCAUUGGGAGGCAGUCAAGUGGAUUUUAAGAUAUCUGAAGGGUUCAUUAGAUACAUGUCUUUGCUUUACAGGUGCAAGUUUAAAACUGCAGGGUUAUGUAGAUGCUGAUUUUGCUGGUGAUAUUGAUAGUAGAAAGAGUACUACUGGGUUUGUUUUUACUCUAGGUGGUACAAUUAUAUCAUGGAGUUCAAAUCUACAGAAGAUUGUUACUUUGUCUACUAUAGAAGUUGAGUAUGUUGCAACAAUUGAAGUUGGAAAGGAGAUGAUUUGGCUACAUGGUUUCUUAGAUGAAUUGGGUAAGAAGCAGGAGAUGGGCAUUCUACAUAGUGAUAGUCAGAGUGCAAUUUUUCUUGCCAAAAAUUCAGCUUUUCAUUCAAAGUCGAAAAAUAUACAAACAAAAUACCACUUUAUCCGUUAUCUUGUUGAGGAUAAACUGGUAAUAAUUGAGAAGAUUUGUGGAUCUAAGAACCCUACAGACAUGUUGACUAAGGGUGUCACCAUUGAGAAGCUGAAUUUGUGCGCAGUUUCAAUUGGUCUUCUAGCUUGAGGACAGGAGGAUGAGUUGUAGGGAUGAGGGAUUGUUUCUUGGAGGAUAGCGGUUUGAUGUUGGUGAUUGGACUAGUCUCCAAGUGGGAGAUUUGUUGAGCUUUGUGGAGCUUAGUUUUCUUUGAUCUAGUUUGACGACCCAACCUGAAUAAUAUUGCAUGGCUUUUUAAUGGGAGAUUUAUUGAGGUCUGUUGGGCCCGUUUAGCCCAUUGUGGAACCACCUUUUGUAAUUAGGGUUUUUUAGUAUGGUGGGGUUGCCGUGUUAUAUAUAUAGAGAGAAUAUUGUAGCCGCUAGGUUGUACUAUGUAUUCUUCCCUGAUAAUAGUGAUAUCCCUGCAACUCCGUGGACGUAGGCAAAUUGCCGAACUACGUAAAUACUGUCUUGUGCGUGUGAUUGUUUUUUUUUCUUUGGCGUGUGUUUUCUCUAAUUUUUGUUUCUCACGGGUUGGGAAUUCGGUUUAAUUCCCUACAAGAUGGAGAGGAAAAUAAACAAAAUUUAAAAAGUAUGUGGAAAAAACAAACUACUGAUCAUAAACUUAUUCCUUUUUUAUCAGUUUUCUUUAACAAAAAAAAAAAAAAAAAAUUCUCUCAUCUACUACCCACCAUGGUAGCCUAAUGGGGCAGUUAACACCCCCCGAAGGUUCAAGUCCCAUAGAGAGUCCCUAACAGAGCUGGUUGUCGAUUGUUAUGAUUUUUGAGCUGGUUUUUCCGACACUGGUAUGAGCAUUCUACUCGAUGGUGACUUAUGACAUGGGUGGCUCAAUCCUAUCCACUAUUAGAGGAGUUGAGAUUCGCUUAGACCUGAAGAGCAUUUGUUAUACAUAUCUUUGAUAUUGCUCCUGUUGAACUUAGAAUAUACAAGUCCAAGAUCUGGCCCACUCUGUUGGGAUUUGAGCAUAAAGAGACUAUUAAGAGGAUUUGUAAACUGUCAGAUGACGGGAUGGGCAAGCCAUCAGCACAAAACUUGACAAUCAUCAAUCGAGUGUUACAUCAUAUAUUGCGCUUCAUUUUCCUACCACAGGGUAGACACCGAGAUGAAGUCUCCUAUUACGAGACAUUUCUUAUAGAUUCCAUUUUGAUUGGGAGACGGAUCCAUUUAGGAUAUCUAAUGAUAAUGCAGAUGAUUGCAUGUUGUGAGAGCAUCACUCAAGCACUCCCCUAUGACUGCUUCUUUUCCCGAGUAUUCAAGGAUGUUAGCAUUAACCUUAGCAGAGAGAUAGACUUUGAGGCUCCCAGUACAUAUGAUACAUAUGAUGAUCAAUCCAUGGGGUGGAUGAAAUUUGAGAAGACUCCAAAUUGUUCUUGGAUCAGAAAAGCAGAGAGAGCACAACCAUAGGGACAGGGACAGGGACAGGGAUAGGCACACCUUAGAGUUGAGGAGGAGGUAGAGAUUAGGGAGAUGCAGGGUGGAGUAAACCUUGAGGGUGGACUAGACCCUCAGAGUGGCCACUAGUAAAGAGGGCCCGAGCUUGAUAUUCUCCCAAUUCAAAUAGAGAUUCCUUCAUAAAUCGGGGGUGUUCCGUUUGAGUCACCUUCUUUGAGUCAAUGAUGACUAAAUCAACUUUUACAAAGGAACCAUCUACUCAAACAUCAUACACUGAGACCACCUAUACUGAGAUACCACAGUCUCAGGCACCUCCUACUCCUAACCAUGCUCCUUAGAUGGAUUUAUCCGCUCAAAUUAAAUCCCUUGGUGACACAUGAUUUUAUUAUAUAGGAGGAUAGGAUGGACCAAUAUCAGACUAGGUUCACUUAUCAAUUUGAGUAUCUUUAACAGAGGAUUGAUCACAUUGAGGAUUACAUAGUGUGUCAGCAUGAUGAGAUGAUGGCAUACUUGCAUUCCAUAUUUCCACCUCCACCUUCUUAGCCUUGAUUCGUUGGAUACCCCACCCCCCCUCCCCCCCUCCCCCCUCCCCCUUCUUUUUUUUUUAUGUUGCCAAAGGAGAAGAUAUUUUAGGAUCUAAGAGGCUAGAUAUAGGAGACAUGCAUAUCAUUUUUUUUUUGUUUGGAUCAUAUAUUGCUUAUCUCUAGUUACUUUAGCUUAUUGGACAUAUGAUGUACUGACUGAUACAUUUGACAUUAUAUAUGAUAUGUGUAUAUAUUUGAUGAGUUACAUUGUUUCUUGUUGCAAUACUAUCCAACAUGUCUUGAUCAUCUUAUUUUUAAUUCUUAAAAUAUUGAUUGUUGAUCCAUGAUUAGUUUUGAGGGAGAGAUUCUUUUCCUCUUAGAUAACCAAGGUUUGUCAUCAUAAAAAAGAGGAAGAUUGUUAGCCCAAGGAUUCUCCUAAUCGUUUUUUUUUAUGAUAACAAACUAUGGUUAAGUGGCUAAUUGGUUUGAAUUAUAAAAAAUUUCAAGUGUUAAUUUGGAAAUUCAUCAAAGGACCCAAUGGAUGCAAGAUCAAAACAUUUGGAAGACCUUUAAUCAUAGGAAACAUAUGUAAGAUAAAUGCAUGAGUUCACUUAAGAUUUUUAUAUCUUUUCAUGCAUCUUUAAAAACUUGGUUUAUGCAUUAAAGUUACAUUUCUAUCAAAACCCGAGUUUUAUCAAAUGAACCUUAGGAAAAUCUGUGGACAAGCAUUUUUUACAUGCGUCCCCACUCAAUGGCAAAACUCAUUUUUGUUGGUGAAAAAUUAGUUUUGGAAAAGAUAGAGUCACCACUUAUUUUAUUUUAUUUUUAAAAGGAAAAUAAAACAAAAAAGAAAAACCCUAAAGAAGUAACUCCAUGAUUUUGGAAAAGCAUGUCUUUGAACAAACUCGAGUUUAGGUCCAAGGAUCAGGUUAUUUAUUGGGAAGGUACCUCAAAGAGGUAGCACCCCUCUAAGCCUUAAAAAGGUCUCUAAUGGCUAAGUCGAGGGAAAUGUGGCAAUUAAUCAAUUGAUUGAAGGUACCUAGGUAGACUAAGGUGAUUUCAAGAUUCUAUUAAUACUAGCAUGUCAAAUAGGAAAUCAAAUUACAAUCAUAAAGGAGAGUUAGGGUGUGUACUUGAACUGCUUUUUAAGCGCAAUCAUAAGACAAUCAAAGUUAAUUUGAAUAGUAUAUCACUCCACAUGCAUUUUAUUAGUAUCAAAUAAGUGUCAAGGUAAUCAAGGACAUCAUUCAAACAUGGAUUUAGCUCAUGAUAACAUGCAUUUUCAUAAAAUUUUGGAAUUGGGAGAUAGAGAGCAUACUUAGAUAGCAAGUUGAGCGCUUUAAUGGGAAACAAGGUUAGCUCAACAAUAAAUACAAAAUAAAUUCAUGUAUAUCAUCAAGGAGAAUUAAAUAUCAAGCGAAUAUCCAGCAAUCAUCUCAUUUGAAUCAUAAUCAGAGGAGAAAUCAAGGAUGUUGGGCUCCUACCAAGGCCCAUUUUACUUUUGCAUGAAUUGAUGUUGGUCUCCGAUUCAUCGAAGAACCCCAAUCCCCCAUUUAUCACAAACGUCCAGAAUCCAUAUUCCUAUCGGCCAUGUGAGAAACCAACAGCUUGGUUUCGCCUUUCAUGGUGUAUCAAUCAAUCUCAUUUACCCACUGAAACGCAACAACCCACAUGAUAAAUUACAAGGGCACUUAAAAAAUGGCCAUGCAAGAGUGAGACCCGAGGUGCAAUCUGGAGUGCGCCAUCUUCAAGUGGUAGGGGGUCCCGCCUACCUUCUGAUUCCAAGGGCUCCAGAAUAUGGACUCCAUUGUCGGUCAAUCCCAUUGCAAACCGAUUAAGUUCAAAUGGAUGGGGUUUCCGUCUUCAAAGCUUAGGAAGGUUGAUUGGCUGUCACUAUGAAUAUGUGGCAUUUGGGGUUGAACUACUCGACCCACAGGGAGCUCAGUGCUUAAUGUUUUCUAGUCUUGAUGCUUCAUGUCAAGGGUUCAUCUCAAGUCAUGGAAAGGCAUUCCUUCUUCAUACUUGAUGAGGAUUGAUGGCUUGAAGCAUGUUGAUGCAUCUUAUCAUAUAGAUAUAGGGUUAUGGUAUAUGACACACCAUUCUGAAGCAAGCGUUGUGAUCUAGAAAACUGCAUCUGUCAAUUGGACCACUUCCUGCGGUAUUCACAAGUGCUUGAGAACUCCCAGAAACGAUGGCGGCCUCUGAAUCUAUCUAACCCCAAACAACCCAUUAUAUACAAUCUUUAUAAAGUUUCCACCUUUCUAGAAAUACUCAUGCUAUUAUGGUCUCCGUGUACCAAAGGGAGACGAGAAAUAUAGAUGUUGAAGCAUAGAAAAAUAAUCCAAGAAAAACAGAGGAAGGAAGACAAAGGAUGGGCAAACAGACAAGCCGCAUUCCAUUAUUUUGUCAAAAGGCUUGAAAACAGGUGGAGGAUAUUAGAGAGCAAGAGCUAGCACAACUCUUAGAUACCAGUAUUAGCGAUAAUUAUAUGCAUCACCCAUUAACAGUAGAGAUUUUUUUUUAAAAAAAAAACUACACUUCAAGCCAGGACAGAGCAUGCACAUAUUUAAAAUCAUUCCACAGAAGAAACAAUCAACCUUAAAUAUUCACAACAAUCAACAAGAUAACACCAGAAUUUGUAAAAAUGGAUGAUGUUGAAUCAUAUAGAGAUAAGAAGAUACUAAUUUCAUCUGACCAUACCUGGAGAAAUUCCUCUCAAGAAAUAUUGUUUGGCUUCAAGCGAGCUUUGUCCUCCUCUAAAGAUCCCCCUAACAAUCCCAACGAGCUCUCUCAUUUUCUUUGACCAGACCUGAUGACCCAGGUGAACUCCUCUUUCUGCUUCCUUCUUUCCUCCUCUUUUCGAUGCGUGCUGAAAGUCCCUGCUUUGAAAACUUCUCCCCCCUUCCAAAACCACCAGCCUGUGUUUUUAUGGCAAUUGGCAGCCGUCCUUCCUGAGGAGUCCUCUUCUCUCCGAAUUCUAUGUCUCCUCCACCAGAAAAAUUCUUUCUGAAUUUCAAAAAGAGCCUUUCACCCCAUGAGUCCCACAUUUUUCAAAAGCUUCUUCAUCCAUCCUUUAACUCUCCAAAGGAUCUUCAAUAACACCUAAAAGAAUUUCUUUCCUUCUCAAAGUCUUACAAAUUUCAAAAAUUCUUCCUCAUCUGCUUGGUAGAUUUCCCUGUAAAGACAUCAAAUUAUUGAAUUAGAUAAAUGAAUAAAGAUUUUAGAGAAUGAUCAGAUGAUAAUAAUAAAUAAAUGAGUAAAUAGCAAGAUAAUAAACAAACAAAUAAAUAAUAGUAAAUAAAUAAGUAGAUAAAAAAAUAGGUGAUUGAUAAUAAUAAAUAUCAAAAAUAAAAAUAGAUAAACAAAUGAAUAAAAAAUGAGUCACACAAGUCAUGCAACCAUACAAGUUAUACAAGUCAUGUCUAAAAUGUCUAAUAAGUCAAGUGUGUCUAAGUGAGCCUAAGUGACCUAGGUGGUGCCUAAUAGGUCAAGUGUACCUAAAUGGGCCUAAGGUGGACCUAAUGAGUCUUAAUGGGCUUAGGUGGUGCCUAAUGGGCCGAGUGGACCUAAAUGGGCCUAAGAUGAGUCCAUGUAGGCUUAAGUGACCUAGCAAGAGUCUAACCUAAAGUGCACUUAAGUGAAGCCAAAUCUAAACUCGAAUGGCAGCCAAGGUCACAAUGAGGAGUUGAAUAAACCCCUUAAUCAAAGUGACUCAGAAAAGAUAAGCUAUUGAGUAGCAAUAGGGCACCUGGAAUUGCUGUAAAAUGUCAAAUGAACACCUAAUAUGACAUGUGCUAAAAGAACAAAAUGGAGGGUCUACAAAAUCGUUUCAAAAUUUGAAUAUUAAUUUACCUAAAGACCUUACCUAAGUGUUAGAAGAGAAAAUACAAGACAAAUAUAAGUUGUCGGGCCAAAAAAUAUGAAUUGGUCGAGGUAGUGGCCAAUCGACUCAACUGACUAAGGUAUUGGUCAAUCGGUUACGCUUUCCUGAUUGAAGUUCAGUCGAGAAAAGCAAAAAAUCUUCUCUUUUCCAGUAGCCUUUCUUUCCCAGUUGAGGGAUAUGUUUUCCCGAUCGAGGAAUAGUCGAGGCCUAAUAAUCACCUGCCGUGCAUUUAUUGCCCAACGUCUAGUGAAUCAGAUGACCCCUAACUCGAUCAGUUAAGGCUAUUUUUGGCAUUUUGGCUCUCAAGGCUAGAAACCUAUAAAUUUUGAGCUCCACUUCAUUUAUGAGAAAGAGAACACUUGCAUUUAUUUGUUUACCUACUUAUUAUUGCCUUAAAAACUCUCAUUCUUUUAUUGGUGCAUUAAAUCUCCAUUUUUUUUUAUUCUUUAGUGCACAUUUGUGAUUCAUCCUACUUUUGAGUUGUAUUUGAGUCAUUGUUGAGUUAGGUUGAGAUAUUCAAACUUGUUAUUUGAGUGUUAGAAGCUUCAAGUAAGUAGAGACUUGAAAGGAUUGUGUAAGAGUCCAUUGGAGUUGGAAUCCAAUUGUAAAGGUAUUGAAAGCUUGGUUGAAGCUUUAGUGAAACUCUUACUCGGUUAAGAGCUUAAGGAGAGUGGACGUAGACAAAGGGUCCCAAACCACUAUAAAUUACGAGUUUACUUCCUCUAAUUCUAUUUUUUUAUAUUUGUGCUUUUUUUUACUUGAAUUUGUGGUGCUUGAAUUUUUUUUUUUUUAAAAAAACCAAUUCACACCCCCUCUUAGGUGUUUUCUCUAUUAAAAUUAACCUUUAUUUUCUCAGUUGUUUUGAAAAUGUUAUUUAUUAUUUUUGUAUUAGAACUAUUAUUAUAUUUAACUAAUUGAUGGCAUAUUAUAUAAUUCCCAAUAAAUGUAGUUAAGAGAAAAGUAUAAAAGAAAAUGAGGUUUACCUUUACCUUUAAAGCUCUUAAAAUUGGUAAUUCACUCCAUCGAUGAAAAAUGAAAGAAAAAAAAUAUUAUGUUGGGAUUCUAGCUAUACCAACUUAAAGUAAUAGCCCUCGAAUGGAGGAGAAGAGAGGGCAAAAAUGAUAAAUAGGGUGAUAGUUAUUUUUUUUAAAAUUUGAAAAUUAUAAGAUAGAAGUAAUAAUAUAAAUAAUACUAUGAUAAAAUUAAUAUAAGAGUAAUUGUAAAUAAAUAAAGAGAGUAGGGAAGAGAAAUGUAAAUUCAAGAUUUAUAGUAAUUAGAACUUAAGCUUUCACUAUACCGAGAGUUAUAGACUAAUCUUUCAAGCUUUAUUAUUGGAUUAAUCAACGUGUACUUACAAUUUUCUUCAAAAGAUGUCUUACUUUUGAACUCUCAAAUAAUACACUACACUUAGUAAAUUCUAAGUGAUACUCCGUACUUAGAGACUUUUUCCGUUCAUCUCACAAGAUAUACAAGAACAACUUUCAUAAGAAUAAAAUUCUUAGUUUAUGAUUUGAGACAAUGGAAUAUGAGGAAACUAGAGUUGAAUUGUAAAUUAAGAUAAAAUACAAUUUUGAAAUCAAGCACACUCUACAGUACCCUUCUUCUAACUUUCUUUAAUUCUCCUCCAAUAUCCCAACUAUUAUUUCUAUUCUCCCGUUUUUAACUCUAUCAACUCAAUUUCUGACUCUUCAAUGCCCCAAUUCUUCGUCAUGACUUCAUGAAUUUAAUCUUGUAACAGUGCAACAUUGAUAAAUCAGUUGGUCUCAAAUAUAUUAUAUUAUAAAUUAAAUAAAAAUCAAUAAAAAAUAAUUAAAGAUGAUACCCCUAUUAUCAGUCAAACUUUUGGGCAACUUGUUAAAGAAAUGGUGAAGGAUCACGGAAAAUGGAUGAAUUGUGAUUUUUUUUUGUGAUGUAUAUUCAUGUUCAUGCAUUUUUUACUCUCACACAAUUGAAUGACAAUUGAAUGUGUUUAUGGCCUUGGUGCUCUAAUUCCAUCUUCUACUCAUGUAAAUUUGGCUUGUAGCCUUCAACGUUACACUAAAAAGAAAUUGGGUCAAAUACUUCAUCGACAGGUACCUGAGAAUUAAAAUUUUAAUCUUAAAAAAUGUUUUUAAAAACUAGAAAAAAAUAAUUAUAAAAAAUAGAUUAGAAAAUAGAUAAUUGUAAAAAAAAAAAAAAAAAAUUAGUAGACAACAAAAAUAAUUAUAAAAAACUAGAAUAAAUAAAUAAAAUAGAAAAACAUAAAAAUGGAAUAAAAAUAAAUUAUUUGCAUAAAAAAUUAUACAUAAAAAAAAAAAAAAAGAACUUAAGUCAUGUCUUGAACACUUAAAUUUAUAAUAAAAAACUGAAAUAGUAUCUUAAAAUGAUUUUAAGAUAAGUUAUGAUGUUCACAAAAUAUCAUAAUUUUAUUGAUGGUUUUGAAACUACCAAAUUUUAUAAAUAUAUAUAUAUUUUUUAAUUUACCAUAAAUUUAUCAAAAAUCCGGUGGAAAGCAAUUGCUUGGACCGCAGCCACUUCAAGCUCAACCGAGAUUUUAUAAUUUGAGGCCAUCGCUUGCCUUGGCUUUGGCAGUCACAAAAUAUCAUGGGCAUAUAAUCUUCUACAUUGGCCUUACCAUAACUCCCAUACUUCUCAUCCAUCAUUUUUCGAUUUUAUAUAAUUUUAACCAAUUCUAAUAUAAAAUUAUUAAUUUCCUCCUUAAACAAACAAGUUAAUAAAUGUAAUUUUUUAAAUAUAUAAACUCUUAAAUAAUUGAAAGAAAGCCUUAAAAUUACCCCAUUAAAAAAAAGAAAAAAAAGUGAGUUUUUAUAUGUAAAAAUAAUUAUAAAAUAAAAUAUUUUAAAAUUAAUUUAAAUUUCAUAUAUUUACCUAUUAAAAUUAGUAUUUAAUACGGUCAAAGUUAGUAUUUAUAUUAUUAAAAAUAUUUUUCUUUGACAACGAGAUAGAUGUGGGAAAAUGAUAAAGAAAAAUAACUUUCUUAUAUUUGAUUUUAUUAUAAAAAAAAAUAUGAAAAAUAAAUAAAUGUCUAUAUUUUUAAAUUAUUUGACUUUUAUAAAAAAAUUAAAAUAAAUAAAAUAAAUUUAAAAUAAUAUACAAAAAUAAGUUAUUCAAUUAUAAAUGGAUUUUCCCUCUAUUUUCUUUUUCCUCAAUUUUUGGAAGCCUACGUGGAAAAUAAACAGGAUAAAUUUAGUCCCUACAUGAGAUUUUGUGGGAGAGAAAGAAAGAAAAUCCGAAGGCCAGUUGUAUGCAUAUGGUUAGGCAAUUGGUGGCAGCGAGUGUGAGACUGAAUAGACUUGUGGGCUUCUGGGUGAAGUGAAGGGAGGGAGAGAGAGAUAUGGGGUUGGCCAUGACAACAAACACACUACCUCCUGCUUUGCUUUCAGCCUCCUCAAUCAGCAGUAGCUUCAGAAGGCCACUCUACUGCCACUACUCCUCAAUCUCUGCUUCUCCUCGGAUUCUCUCUUCUGUACGUCUAUUAUUUAUUUUUAUUUCUGUUUUGUUUAUUCAAUUCUUGUUUUUAUUGUUCAAUUUCUCUCCGUUUCAUUACAAUUUCUUUUCAUGUUUUUCUUUUUGAUGUGAAAGAUGUUAUAAAGAAAUAUCAAACUAUGCACGUUUUUCUCUGUUUUUCUUGAUGAGUGGUGGGGAAACUGUGCUGCAGAUUAUGUAUAUGCCCUUUUGCCUGUUUGGUUGUUGAGAAAAUGUGAUAAAGCAAUUUGAGAUUUGAAAUUGAGCGGGUUUUUUUUUUUUAAAAAAAAAAUUAAUUAGUUUUUUUUUAUUUUUUGAGAUCCCAAGAAAGUAAACCUCCCUUGGAAGAGAUUCAACCAAUCGUUUGGGUUAGUUGAGUUGAUUCUUUGUUUUCAGUGUUUCCUUUCUUUUCUGUCAUUUUCUGGGCUACCAAGCAGAGGGGUUUGGGGUUUUUUAUCCCCUUUUAAAAGUUGCAAUUUUGAAGUAAGACACAAUGGUAUGUAAUUAGAGUACAUUUAACAUUUUCUCUCUCUCUCUCUCUCUCUCUCUCUCUCUUUUGUUACUCUUUUUGAUUGAGGAUUGUGUUGAUACUGAUAGAAAGAAACUUCAUACUGAACUUGUUUCAUGAAUUCCCUUCUGUAAUUUUCUUUUAAUUUAAUUUGGAAUAUACCCUUGUUAAAAUAGAACAAAUUGAACUGGAUUUGAUUACAUAUGGGCAAUGUUACCAAAAAAAAAAUUUCAAGGAAAAAAAGAAGCAUUUCCAGUUGAUCCAAAUCAGCCACACAACUCAUUCCAUCAUCUCAAAAACCUAAAUAGUUAAAAACAUUACUGAAAAUGAUACCCGGGAGAUAACCCAAACCCAAUCAAUCAAUUUUUGAUCUGGUUGUAUUCAGGGUUAUGAAAAACCCUUUUGUUUGGCUCAAUGCCAGGCUCAACCUAAGAAUUCUUGUAAGUGUAAUAGAGGGAUUAAUGAGACUACAGUUUUGAUACAAUUAGGUUGCCCCAGUUGGAUGGAAGAGGGAAAGGAUAAGUAAAGUCCAGUUCUCGGUAGGUCAGCUACUAGGAAACCUUUAGUCUAUUAUAAUUGGACCUUUUUCAAACUUUACUAGUAGGGAGUUUUUAAUAGGUCCCAUGUUUUAAGUUCUGUUGUCCUCUUAGGAUAGACUAAAAUUUGGCUAUUCCCCUGUAUUUCUAACUUGUUUUUGAGUAAAACUUGCUCAGUCAUCUUCUUGGAUCUUAACUAUCAGCAAUGGCAACACUCUUUAGGAUUGUAAAGAUGAGUAAAUUUUGGAAAGUAAUUAGUUGAUAGGGAUCUUGGUGGCUUUUGAAGAACCAGUGGGUUUAUCAAUGAAUCUAGUUUUCGGUAUUUUCUCUUGGGUGUGUUUGGAUGUAGCAGAAAAGGCAUGCCAUCUGCUGAAUUCUGUAGAAGGGGAAAGGGUUCUGUAUCGUUUCACUUUUUGAUCAAGGGAAGAAAAAUCCAUGCUUUAAAUCCCUCUUCAAUAUCCUUAAUCAGUGAUGUUCUAAAUAUUAAUUUCACAGUUUGGAGGUUUUAGCAUAGCACUUUGACCACAACCAUUACAUCCAUCGCAACUAUCACAACUUUCCCCUCUCAGUAUAACCAUGUGUUCACACUUGCUGCUGCCACUCUCAGUUCUACUUCCACUCUCAGUUCUUCUUCCACUUCCACUUCCACUGCACUGCCUAAGCUGCUGUUACUAUGGCACCAUCACUGCUGCCAUACGAGCAGCCCUGCCACCUGUAGCCCACAUCCAUCACUGGUGCUGCUGCUGCUUUCAUAUCUCCACAACACUGCUUACUGAUGCCAAUACCACCUCCACCUAUUCUGAUUCCCUCAACAGCCUUGCUCCAGCCAUGAACUGCACCACCACAUCCUUCAGCAGCAACUCCUGCACUGAGCCAUGGAAUUCAAUCUUCUCAUAGAAGACAUGGAUUUUUUUUUUUUUUUUUCUUUUUUGAACUCCAUAUAAGUCAAUGCAGUGGAUUUAAGUUGUUGGCUGAAAGGAAGUCCUGAGGCCACCACCAUUUCUGCUCAUCCAAACAGAAUAUUUUGGGUAGUGAUAUUGGUAUAUUUUUUGGUGACCUCGUAUAUUUGUGCUUUAAGACAAGAAAAUCUGAAACCUAAAAUUAGCAUCAAAUUAUAAUCAAUCUCAUAUUCAGUGAGAUUUUGCAGAAGUUUUUCAUACUGGAACAGUUUCUUUACUUGGUUUUUUAGAAAUUCUGCAGCUUUUGACACUAAACCUUCAGUUUAUGUUCAGAGAAUAUGCAAAUCUUUGCCAUCACUUACAAAGAACACAGCAUGCAGAGUAUCCAGCGGCCAAGUGAAAGUGGAAGAUAGCGUAGAUGAUGAGGCCUGUGAAUUAGUCAAUGGAGUGGAGCUUUCCAUAGGGGAGGGUGAUGAUAGCAUCAAUGCUUAUCUCCUCAAGGCUGUUAAGAACAAUAAUGGUACAGGGAUACUGCUCUUGUCUGAUGUCUUUGGCUUUGAAGAUUCAUCCACAAGGGACUUUGCAUAUCGCGUUGCCUGCAAUGGUUACAAGUAUGUUAUUGACCUUCAUUAACAAUCUUAUAAUCCCUUUUGAAGAACUGAUUCUUUAGUAGAGUUGAAAUUUGAAUCUUUAAUUCCGUAACACUUCUUUCCUAUGCUUUUAAAACAACUGCAGUGUUCUGGUACCAGAUUUAUUUCGCGGGAAUCCAUGGGUGAAGGACCAGCCGAAGAUCAUGUUUCAACAAUGGCUAGCUACACAAGACCGCCAAAGGGUUGCUCGAGACAUUGACAUGUCAGUAAAAUGGCUGGUUGAUGAAUUCAUAGCUGCAGGAGUCACAGAGAAGCUCGGUGUCAUCGGGUUUUGCUUUGGAGGCGGCCGCGUGAUAGACGUUCUAGCCCAAGACCAGGGUGCUCAUUUUGGUACCGGUGUCUCCUUCUAUGGGACAAGAAUCAACCCAUCUGCAGCAGCCAAUGUAAAGGUACCCGUAUUGUUCAUUUCAGGGGACGAGGACCCACUUUGUCCAGUCAAUUUGCUGAAAGAUAUUGAGAAGAGCAUCGGCAGGGGGUCAAGAUUGGUAAUAUUUGAGGGAAGAGGCCAUGGGUUUGCUCACCGGCCAGAAUCUCCCGAAGAUGAUGAAGACGCAGAGCAGGCGUUUGCGGUCCUGAGAAGUUGGUUGCAGGAAGGUUUGGCUGUAAAUAACUGAAUGCCAGUUAGUUUUGGUUAGUUCCCUGUGUGUAUUCAUCUUGAAGAAGAAACCAACGAUAACCCUGCUGCUUGUUAUUAUGAUAAUAGGCCAUUUUCAGUUCUUUUAUCGGGAAUUUUGAUAGUGAUGAAAGUGAUUUGUCAGUAUCAUAUUUUCAUUAUAUUCCAUGUUGCUUUCAUUCAAGGAACCAUUGAUGAAGAACCCUUUGAUGUACCAGACCUGUGAUAUAGCUCAAAGGUACAUUGGUUUUCCGGUUUUUGGUCGAUGGUGAAACUGAAACACUGCUUUGAUAUGCUCCUGUUCAGGUAACUUCUGAGACACUGCUGCACCCGAGAUCUGAGGCACAUUCCAUUGAGGAGUUCUUGUUUUGGUAGCUCAACACAAGUAUCACAACGAGCGCAGGUGUUACAGGUUUUGGUUUGAGGUCUAGAAAAAGACCUAUGAAGUUACAAUUAAUGGCCUGUGUAAUUUUGUUGUUGGAAAAUUGAAUUUAUGUAUGAGAAUUAUAUUUUAAAAUUAUUUUUAUUAAAACUAAGGAUAAUUUUGAUAUUUUUAAAAAUUGUAAACAAAAUACAAGUGGAUUUUAGAAAUAGCGGGUUUUUAUGCUUUAAACAUGUAUCUAAGAGUUUUAUCUAAAAAUGUCAUAUUUGAUUGAUAGGAUAUAAUAUAGGACAAAUAAAUGGUGAGAUAUAUUAUCUAUUUUUUUUUCUAUAUGUUAAUUUUAUGGUAAGAUAUGGAAUAUGUAUAUCCCAUAUAUUAAAAAUUUAUUUUUUAUAUGCUCAUUUUACAAAAUAAAUUAUAUAUAUAUAAAUUUAUAGUUAAAAAAGAAAAACUAAAAAAAUAUAAACUAAUAUUAAUAAAUAAUAUAUAAAUUAUUUUAAUAUAUUAAAUAAUGUAAUAUAAAUUUUUAUUUAUUUAUAAAAUUUAAAUAUUUUAAUUAUAAAUAUUGUUAAAUAUAAGAGAAUUUUUAAAUUUUUAAAUAGUAAUUAUUAGUGAUAUAAUUUUUAUUUUAAACAUUAAAAAAUGAAUAUUCUUUUAUAUUAUUUUUUUAUUCAUUUUAUAAAUUAAAUAUAAACAUAAUAUAAUAAAACAUAUUCACGUAUAAGUAUAUUUAAAGAUAUCAUAUUUCAUUGAAAAUCAUAUCUAUAUAUUUCUUAUCUAAUGGGAUAUGAUAACCUAAAAAAUGCAUAUUUUAUUCUAUCCUAUUUCGUCAAUAAAAAAUAGCCUUUAAAUAAAUCUAAUAUUUAAACACUACUUCAAUAUUUAUAGAAAGGGGAAAAAUGUUCUGUCUUACACUUGGGAAAUAAAAAAUAAAAAAAAAUAAUUAAACUUAGAUUUCUCAUAUCAAAACUAGUAUCUAUUCCAGCUAUGUAUUGUAAGCUUAGUUAUUUUUUGUUGAAUAUAUUAAAUUUAAAUUUUACAAAUUCAUUUUUCCGUUUUUCCAUUUUCUUUUUCCAAAACUCUAUACCGAAAUACCUCUAAAAAAACUCUACCAGACAGUCCUGCUUGGGAAUUGGUUAAAUAGGAUGGUGCCUCGGAAAGGGAAUGGAUAGAGCAUUUGUUUUAGCAUAGAAUGGAGAAUUUGGACCAUUAGAGAGAGAUAUUUGGCAAUUGGUGGUCCUUAGUUGUUGUGGCUUGUAGUGUAAGGCAACUGGCUUUGUGAUAUAACUGAUAAGAGGGGGUAGCCUGGGUCUUAGCAAACACCCAAAAAGACAAUUUUAUCACUUUCAGUUGUCAAAAAAUCCUUUGGUUCUCCAUCUACCUAGUCAUGGUGAGGUAACAGUGAGUUAAAUUCUAGUUUACUUUUUGAGACAUGAUGGUGAAGGAAAGAACAGUAGAAUAUGAAUGUCCAUAACUACAAAAACCACUGCAGAACAUCCAUGAAUUAUGGUUGCUACCUCAUUACCCUUCAAGAUUCAUCAGCAAAGUUAUCAAUAGGAACCAUUCACCAUAGCCAUUAACCAGUAAUGGUCUUCUCAUAAAAUGAAAAAGAAAUAAAACAUAUAUAUAUUGAAAUUAAGAAACUCUUCCUGCCAAACAUCUUCCCUGUGAAGCAAUGUACAUCACAACUGAUAAUCAAACAAAAGUCGAGUUAACCCAUGCUAUAGAGGGAUUUCACAAGCCGGUAACCAACUUAAAAUCAAAAUUUUUGCACAAAGUUUCAAGGAAGAUUUCCUUUUCUCAGGAACCAUAACAAAAGUGAAAUGAAACAAUGAGGAAAUAUGCAGAAGAUUCAGUAGCAAAAGAAAAUCAAUUAUUUCUUCCUUUUUUUUUUUCUUCCUACUACACUCCAUUUGGUCAUAGGAUUACAGAGCAAAAGGCAGUAGGGAGAUCAUAACUAAUAAUGUACUCAUAACAAUGUUGUACUACAUGGCUGAAAGCCAUUGCAGGGGGAUUAGGAAAAAACUGGCAACAAUAAUCUCAACUUCUGAAAAUUCUGAUUUGAAACCCAACCAACUCCAGGGUUUUGAUAUCUUCUAAUCAGUCCUGUCCCUCCUGGCAACAACAACAGAAUUACUAACCUUGAAUAAAUUGCUUACAAUUCAUAUAAAGUUCACAACAACAAGAAGGAAAUAUAAAACAAAAAGAUCAAAAUAUUUUGAACAACCUAAAGAACUGGUAAUACAGUUGAAAUAUUAGUGUGGCUAGGGAUCCUUGGUUUGUGGUCCCCAGAAGUGAAAACAAAGGGAUUACAUAAAACACAAUAUAAGGGAACAGCUGGUGACAACUGAAAGCUCUAUGAGGAACCUAAGAGAAUGUGUCAUAAUAGAUAAACAAGUUACAACAAAGAAACUACACAUGGGAUUUUACCUAAAUGAUAUGAAAAAACGGGAACUUGAAUGAUUCAUUGCCCAUUUCACCGUCAUGGAUUGACAGGGUUUAGGGGUUGUCCUUCCAAGUAGUCUUUGCAUCUCAUUCAAGUGGAUUCUUUUUUCCAUCUGAAAGUGGUGACUUGGAAAAUCUUUUGCACAAGGUUUCAGAAAAGACUUCCAGAAGUAAACACUUCCAUGCAUCUUGAAUCCAGGUAGGUUUCAGAAACAGAUUUCAGAGACGUAUUUGUCAAUGAGUUUUCAGAAGUUUUCCAAGGUCUAUUAUAAGUUUUGGAGAUGCUCUAAGCCUUGCAGACCAAAGGUAUUGAGAGGCUUCCCAAGGGACUCAGUUGUGACCUUUAGAGCAAAAGCCUAUCCGCUAGAGUAUGCUAUGUUCUAUUUAUAGUUUUUGAAGACAUCACAGUUCAAACCCUUUAUCAAGACAUGACUUCCACUAAAUAUCAAGAAGUAGAUUCCACUAAAGGGUGAUAGGUUGUAUUGUAAUUCAAUCUAUUAGAUGUCAUUUCUGGCGAAUCACCACCACCAACUUCUGAGCCCUCCAUUAGCAUAUAUAACAACUAAUAAUCACAUUCAUAGACCCACAACAGUACAUGUCACAGUAGUUAUUACUCUUGAUUUUGCAAUGUUUCUUAGUUAAACCAACAAGGAAAUGGAAACCUAAUUUCUUAUUCUGUUUGGUCUCAAUUUGCAUUGGCCUUUUUGGAAGCUAAAAGCACUUUUCUAAAAAAAAAAGAAACGGAUUUUAUUUGUAUGUAAGAUAAUUUAAUAACAAUACUUUUGACUUUAAAAAGAGCUUAACCUGGAAGUAAAGACAAGAUUGCUUCUCGUUAAAGUCCUUUCUCAGCUUAUGUAGGAAAUUGUUUCAUGUUUAACAAAAUUUUGUAGCACCAAAAUUGUCCCUUUGAAAUCAUGGUUUAUGGUUUGGCUUUAACCUAAAAGCAAAAGCAAAAAGCUAUCUAAAACAAGGCCUUAGUUUCAACUCAUAACUUGCUUCUUUUCUAACCCAGAUAUAUAUUCUUUUUUUUGAUAGGUAAGUGCAAAUUGUAUUAAAACACCAAAGUUUUCUAACCCACAUUAUAAUAUGUAACUAGAUUAAAAUUUAUCAGUGUCUGCUAAACUGAAUUUCCUACAAUUAUAAUAAAGAGCUAAAAUUAAUUUUAAAUCAAGUUGUAUCAAAUAAUGAUAUUUCUCUUCAGAGAAGCAGCUAUAAAACUAUUCAUUGUCUCUUAAUUUGCUUGCCAGUCUUGCUUUUUGGAAGUGCAUAUCUAGGAACUGAUUUCUAGGAUUAUCCUAUUCUAGUCCACUUGUUCCACCAGGCCACCACCCUAACCUUCCAGGUUCAAUUAUACUUCAUAUCCCUUCUGUAUUCACUGUUUCACCUUCUACCAAACUCACCUAUCUUUUACAUAUCUAACUUCAAUAAACUCUGUUCCUUCACAAUAUGAAUUCCUCAACAUACACUAGAUCAAGCUCAAAGGAUUUCCUGCAGAUUAGGUCUUUAGAAAAUAACAUUUUGGUGCUGUUUUCUCAGGCAUAUGUACCCAAGACUAGCCCUAGAGUCAAAUAUAGAAGAGAAUAAGAGAAUACAACUAAAAGAUUCCACAAAUUAAAACCAAUGUAGAACAAACCCACCUGAGAAGCAGGAGCAUCUGAAAUCUUAGGAGGCAGAAACAUUGCAGGGUAGCCACCAAACUUUUGAGAACACUCUGUAUAUGCAGAUCCAAGUCCCAGUCCAGCACCAAAAGCUACAGAUGCCCAGCGUGUCACAGGACUCCCUGACAUGACAAAUCAGAAUAAAAAUUCAAUUUUUUUUUUUUCAUUUUUAUUAUCCUGGUAUGGGAGAAGGGACUGCUUAGAGAUUCAAAUGUUAAUGUGAAGCGAAGGCUGCUGAUCUUAUGAUUUUAAAAUAUGCUUAUACUUAGGGCCUCAACUGACAUUAGAGUGAACAAUGCCUAGGAAAACUAGUUCAUGCACAAUAUUUGCUUAGAAAAUUAAAUGUCAAAAAAUUAUCAGAUUUAGUUCCAUCAUAAAGUAUUUAGAUGACUAACUCUUAAUUAAAACAUAAUUUAUUGGGUGUGAAAGUGGUAAAAAAACAUGUUAGUAUACCAAUUAACAAGUCAAAACAUGAUAUUACUUAACAUGACUGUCUAAAUUGUACACUACUGUACCAUCAGAAAAUUGCACUGACAACAGUAACUUUGUUUCUCCUUCACUAACCAGAUUCAGCUGAAUGAUUGUCAUUCUUGGUAAUAAUUUUGGUAAUCCCAUUGAGUGUGGAGGAACCGUAGUGUUCAAGUAUAUUGAGGACAUUGGAACAUUUGCUUUAUGGGACCAAAUUAGAGAUUCGAUUCCCUUUGGAUUCUAAGGAGGACCCACAAAACCUUUGUGAACAUUUUGCAAUGAGGCUAAGGCUUUGCAAGAUCCACCCAGGAAAUUGGGUCUUCAAUAGAAGAAAUCCAAGUAGACCCUUCUAAAUAGCAGAGGGCUAAGAGUGUUAACAAAGUCACUCGGGAUUCCUCUGCAGGGGGCAAAAGGAAGCCAGAGAGUUAAAAGAACCUUCAAACAGUAUGCUAUGCUGCUUCAGGCUCUAAAAGGUGUAUAGGAAGCAAUAAAGUUUGGGGUAAUCCACAAUUACAUUGCAAUGAAGUUUGAAUUUAGAUGGUAAAGAUGUUAAAAGCAUUUGAGAAGCUAGGCAAAAGGUGUGUAUCCUUACCUUGUUUAGGUGCUUGGGGAGAACAUCACUAUCAUCUAAACAACAGUUUUGUUGAAGAUGUCAGGGGCCUAGAAGAUUCCCUCACUUUAUCAAUAAAUUACACUUUGGGAAUGUUUGAAGGGUUGGUAAUUGAGUGCUACAUAUGGCUCCAGCAAACCUAGAUUGAGGUCAGAUUUGUGAGAAACCCUCUGGUUUCCAUGAUCUGAUGCUUUCACAUAAAUUGGAUUGCUAAACAAAUAACUUUUAGGAUACAAGAGGAAUUUUUCCCUUUUAUGCUUUGAUAAAUUAUAGUCAUCCUUUUAAGAAAAGAACUCUAAUUAUUCAUGCACAGUCACAAGAAUUUAUACCAUUAAGUUUCCCAUUUAAGUUAAAAUGAAUAAUUUAAGAAAAAUUUAUGCUUUGUUUAUUUUAUUUUAUUUUUUUUAAUGAAAUCAAAACCUUCUUUUGGUAUAAAGAAAGAGCCAAAGUUCAUGUAUGUGAGAGGUCUACACCAAGGAAAAGAGUAAACAGAAAGGAAGAAUGUAUUAAAAAACUAUAAGAAAAACAAAGAGGUUAAUUUAACUCCAUGCCAAUGAAGAUACACAUACACUUGGCAAAAAGGAACUUCAACUUUGCCAAAGGAAAUUCUUUAUCUUCAAAGAUUCAUUUCUACCUCACCUUCCAAAUCUUCCAAAACAUAGCAUGUGGAACACCAUUCCAACCUCUCCUUAGCCUUUUAUCACAAGCAAUACUCCACCCAAAAGAAAAUAAACCAACAUUCACAAGAUUGCCUGCUAAAUACCAAAAAAAUGAAGAAAUUGAAAAGCCCCAAGACCUGAAGGCAACCAAGGAAAAAUGAUCAACAAAUGCCUCAUGUUCUUCACACAUAAUGCACCAAUUAGAAAUGGCCCACUUCAUAUUUAUCAAGCAACUCAUUGUUAGAUGAUCACUGAAGGCAACCAUCCACAAACUGAAACUCACAGAAUAAAUUAACAAAAGAUACUCCUAUAAAAUCUUUAGCCUUGGACACUCCAAGAAAGAAAGGAAUAACCAAAAGCCUACUUAAGAUUAGAGAGAGGAACUCUGCUCCUUCAAAAGAAAAAUCUUCAUGUUUUGCACUUUCCAAAUGUUCCAUUAGAGAAAAACAGGGUUGUUGGCAAAAUAAUGCUACCCUCCCUCAUUGGAACCUCAAAGAAGCAUCCUAUGAUGGCCAACCUGGAUGAAACCUUUAGGCUUAUCAAACCCUAUGCCACAAGGUGGAGAACAUCUUAUGAUUGAUAACCAUUUGAUUUAGGCCUAAAUUAAGGGUCAUAGACAAGAAGGCCUAGAAUCUCAUGGUUCAAAGUCGUAGUAUCAAUCAUUGGUAUGAGACAUUCUGAGGCACACUGAUCUCAACCUAUGUUGUAUAGGUUUGGAUAUGAUUGUUGGAUGCAAGCACGUGUCUAAGUGUCUAAUCCUUCACAACUCAAAUUUUAGGAUAUGGGGACUUGACUAAAAAGGAUCCAAUACACAUGCACAGGUGCUAAGAUACAAUAUAAUAAAAGAAAAAUCAAUUAAAUGUAGAUUGGAAGUUGAAAGAAUAAAAGAAUAUCAAUGAAAGAAUCAAACACUCACAUCCAAAGUAAAACAGGAGUGUCCGACAAAGAUCCCAUAUCCAUCCCCAUAUCAUGUUAUGUUGACAUGGGUAUGUUGGGUGAAAUUGAAAGAUCUGGGAAUCAUAGAUCUCAACAUCUCAUUAGUAUCAGGUGAUACAUAAAAGAUGAAAAGAAUAAAAUGGAAUUUAUUUUUUUAUCUUUUCAAAAAAAAUGUUUAAAAUAAACAUUUUUUAAAUUUAAAAAUGCAUUUUUAACUAUUAAAAAAUACAACCAUUUUAAAACAAUAAAUCAUUUUAAAAAAAAUUAACAUUAUUUUUCCUAUCAAAUAUGCCCAAAAUAAAACAAUUAUAAAAUAUAAGAAUUUUUAUUAAUUUUAUUUUUAUUUGAAUAAGCAUAUCAUAAAAAAUAAAUAUGUUUUGUUAUACCUCAAUCCGUUAGUUUCCUAUUUUUAUAUCAAUUUCAUACAAACCCAAAUACCCAAAUACCUAUGCAAUCCAAUUUUCAACAUAUCGCUACACCCAACAAUAUAAAUCUGAUUACUACAUUUAAUCUCAUUCAAUCUCCAAGGUUAGGUCCUUUAGGAAACCUUUGACUGAAAGCCAACACCACCAAAGUUUCACCACAGCUCCACUCAACUUCUGAUCCACCUCCCCUAUUCCUAAACAGACCGAAAAGACCACAAAAUUACAUUUACAACUAAUUUCUCAUGCUUAAACCUUAUCCUCUUUCUUUCCUUUCAGGUCUCUUUUCCUCAGUACUGUUCACAUAAUUGACAAUUAAUUUAAACAAAAUAUUAAUCAACUUUAAUUGUAAUCCACAUUCCUAUCAUUUUCUGCCCAUGGAUCGGGACAAAAAUACUCAUUCAGUAACAGGACAAUGCUUGGCAGACCUCCUUGCCCAUGGAAACGACCUUGGGAGUACCAAAUAACUACUUGAAGGUUGGUUUCAAAGGUGACCAAGCUAUCUCAAGUAAGCAGAAAUCAAUAUUUGUUUAAGUGAAUGCUAAGGCGCCUGAGCUAACACAGGGCCUCAAGUAUAAGACUUAGUGAUCGAGGCAUAAUACCUCCAGCACAUUGAGUGUAACACCAUGGCCUUUGAGCCUGAGCCAAAGCUACUAAUGAUUUGACACCCUAGUACACUAGUUCUACAUGGUCCUAUUAUUAGGGUACAUCACCAUUCACCACCACAUGCACUUGGAGCCAACUAAGUUCCUAGCUAAGGUGCCAUACUCCUGAACAAAAAACGUGGAGGAUUCCCCACAAUUCUGAGAAUGCCAAAAAUGGGGAGGAUGAAAGUAGGAGCCCAAUGAAAUGAAAAUCACCAGCACUGGUCACUCUUGUCCAAUCAAAGUGAAUCAUCAAACCAGCUAAAAGGCGUCAUUUCAAUCCAAUAUAAAUUUUUUGCAAAGCAUGCAAACAUAAGGAGAAAAGAAAAGGGAUUCCUAGUGCAUAAUCUUAGUUCCAAAUGUUUCCAAUCUAAUAAACACCAUAUCUAUUAGAAAAUGCGGAAAAACUCCAUAAUAGGUUAAUUGAGCAUUACGUCCUGCUUGGUUGCCAAGAAAAUGUAGGAAAAAACAAACAAACGAAAUUCCCUCACUAAAAAUAAUAACUUUUUUUUUCCUCCAUAUUGAUUGAAAAUUACCCGGUUGGACCACCAAGAAAAUGCAGGAAAAAAAAAAAAAACAAACAAACAAAAACAGCCACAACUCAAAACUCUAAACAGUUCAUCUUCUUCAGGUUAGUUGAACUUUUACCCCGCCAAAAAAAUGCAGAAAAAUUAAUUAAAAAAAAAUAGAAUUUCAUGAAUUCCUUUUCCUUCCCUUUCCUUCAGCUUGAAUGAACAUGAAACCCCGGGUUGUGGGCCAGAAUAAAUUCGUAAUCCCGCACCGUUUGGUUGGUAAGACAAAGGAGUAAAAUAAAAAUUUAAAAUCAAACAAAUGAAAAUCCAUAGCUAAAAAGCCUAAUCCCCCCUUCCCUUCACGCAGAUUGAAGGAUAAGUCCCGUUUGUUUGCCAAGAAAAUGUGCGAAAACAAAAAUCCAAAAUUUUACAGGAAACCAAAAUGAUGAAUGAAUAGGAAGAUGAAUAAAAAAAAUAAAAGAGGAAGAAGACUGACUGAAGAGGAGGAGGCCGCCAAAAGCGCCCGCGAAGGAAGAGUAGACGAAGCGGCGGACGGUGAGAUCAAGACAGGCGUCCCAUUUGGCAUCCAGAUCGUAGGGUGGAGGGAUCUGCUUGUUCUCCGCCAUUGAUAUGAUCAAAUACAACCACUUUCUUCUUCCUCUUUUCUCUUUUUCUUCUGAUAGAAAGGAAUUGUUUGUUUAUUCUUUGGAGAAAUUGGGAAGAAGGGUUUGUUUCCCGUACGACUAGGGCUCAGCAUUGGGCUUGAGAGUAUUUGGCCCGGCCCAGUAAACACUUGGGCACGGUUUUCAUUCACAGGCCCAUAACUAUGUUCCUUUCACAGUAAUCAGGGAAAAUUACAUGGAUACCCUCGAGAUUAAUGACAAUUAAUCAGUGAGAACCUGAAUUUUCUGAAAUUACGGACCAAACCCUUGGCUAAUAGUGUGACCGUUGGAUUGCUGACGUGCUAAAAGUUAAGAAAAUGUCUAAAUGGCUUUAGUUUAGUUUAACCUGCAUAGAUAUUUAAAGGGUUAUUUUAUUAAAAGACUCAAUGAAAACCCAAUUUUAAAAAUUUAACGCUUCAUCGUUUUUUUUGUUUCAUUUGGAUGGAAAUGUUCUUGUUCUUUUCUUAUAAAAAUAACAAUUUUUUUUAAAACCUAUGUGUAAAUGUUUGAAAUAAUAAAAGACAUUUAUGUUAAAAAUAGGUUGAUCUUCAUGUCAAAAUGUGGUAAGGGUUAAAUUCAUAAGUUUGGAGAUUAUUUCAUCCAUUUUUAACCGAUUAAUUCAUAUCUAGAAUGUCUUUACAAUUUUAUCUUCUAUUAUCCUAUUUCCCUCUACUUAAUCAUGUCAUUAAUUAUAAUCAAAUUUCUUCAAAUUUUUAUAUACAUAACCUAAUUAACAAAAACCUAAUUAAUUUUAAUUAGAAUUAUUAAUUAAAUAGGAUUCCUAAAUAAACUUUAAUAACUAAUAAAAGUAACCCAAGAAUAUUCAUAUUGUAUAAUAAAAAAUAGAAUUAUGAAAUAAAAAUAUUUUCCUAUUUAAUUUUUUAAUAGGAAAUUAUUAAUAAAUAAUAGUAAUAUUAUACCAUAGAAAUCAAUGUAUAAACUAAAACCAAUUUCAUUUUUAAAAUUAAAUAUAACUUCAAAUAAUUAUUAAAUAACAUUGUCAAAUAAUUUGACGCUCCCAUCCCAUUCAACUCCUAAUGGAUAGAGUUUGAGAUAAAGAUAAACAAGAUUAGAAUGCAUUUGUGAGGUUAUUUAUGGCAUGCUCUAAGGCUAUUUUUCAUCAAGGGAUAUUGACAUAAAUUAUCUUAUUAUGAGAGAAAAAUAUAAAAUCAUAUAAUUUCAUUUGAACCCAUCAACAUGAGCAUAAUGAUUGUUUACAAAAUCUCUUUAUUGUUCAUAAGGACUAUGAUGCUCUAUCAUGUCUUCAUUAUGUGUAUAUCGUAAUGGAAUAAUAUUCAAAUAAGACAUGUUAUAUGUUUGACACUAAAGUUAGACCAUGAAAACUCAUGGGGAUAAUGAGAUUCUUUUAGUUAAGAUUCUCCAUUUAAACAUGUUUAAGAAAAAUGUUAAUAUACUAUGAGGCAUGUUUGGAAUUACAUUAUAUAUAUAUAUAUAUAUGAUUACUAUAAUCGCUAUUUAUAGUUUGCUUAUUUAAAUAAGUUAAACUUUUGAACUUAGAAUGAUUAUGGAUACACUUGACUACUUAUCGAGUCAUCAUUGUACAUCAAGUAAGAGAAUGUUUAGACCUUAAGUGGUCUUAAUGACCAUACUAAAUUUCCGUUUGGUAAAAUAAAAUAUUUCAUGGUAUCUUUUUGUUUCUAUGUGCAUGUAAAUACAAUUGAUAUCCUACAUUCACUUAUCCUUUUUCUAGUUCCCAUUCAUAUAUUCUUAUAAUGUUAACUAGAUUCAUUAUAAAUGAACUCAAAAUUCAUUAAAUUCAUGUUCCACAAUUUAUCACAAGGAAGAAAAUAUAAAGAACCUAAUUUUUGGUUCACUAAUAGAAGAAUCAUAAUGGAAUAUAUAUAAAAAGCUCUUGGUCCUCUCCUCCGUUAUCAUUCCUUCCAUUUGAAAGUUUUAUCCUUAUAGGCCCAUUAUUAAUGUUAAUCCUAAAUGAAUGUUUGAUAAAUCAACUUAAUACCUUAAAAUGAUUUAAUAACUUAAUUUAAGUUAUUAAGUAAAUUAAGUAGGUUUAAUAAAAUAAUUUAAUGAUAUGAUUUAAAGUAAAAAACAACUUUAAGUAAUACUAAAAAUAAUUAACUUAUUUUUAAAUUCAUAUAUUCAUUUUAUAUUUUUACCCUCAUUUGUUGUAGUUACCUCCAUGAUCUUUUUUGUUAUUCCAUAACUUUUACUGUUAUUUGAGUUUUUUUGCCUUAAUAAUAAUUUAUGAGGCUAAAUAUAUAAAUUUGAUGAUUUAAAAUAAAUUUUAAAUUAAUUUUAUCAAACAACCUUAAUACUUAAAAUAAUAAUUAAGAAAUAAGUUUUAAGUUAAUAACUUAAGUAUAAUUUAACUUGAAGUUAACUUAAAUCAUUAAGUAAUAAAUAUUAAGUUUCACCAAACGUAUGUUAAGAGAGAUCAAGAGAGUGAAGAUUGUCUGCAACCAUCAAAGCUUAGCAUUGUAUAUCAAGACUCAUUUUUUUAUAUUCAAAUCUUAAAAAGUUUUAUUGUUAUUAAUUAAAUAUCAUGAAAUUUACACGUUAAGAUAUUUUAACAUAUGAUUUUGGAAAUUUUGUACCAUUUUCUUAUAAAUUUGGAUAAAAAUAUGUUGCAGUAUAUGGUUUUAAACAGUAGUGACUAUAAUGAAUAUCAAAUUUAGAAAAACAUUGUUAUAGUAAUAUUAUUUCCACUAUUAUAUUCAUCAUGACUUUCUAUGAAUAGUAGAAAGAUGUCAGUUUGCUCUUGCAAAUUAAGGUGAUUUAAAGCUCAUAAUCACUCAAAGUCAUUGGCUGCUUCUCACAGAAUUCCAAAGCUACAUAUGAUCGAUCGACAGAGUGAAAUUUAUGUAUUUAAGUAGUUGUUCUAAGACUUGAUAUAUUCAAGCUGUUCUUAUUACAUUACAGCAACCAUUCCUCGCCAGUCUCCUUCCACCCUAGGAGUUUAUUUUGGUACAAUAUAUAGGAGGACUUUAUUUAUUUAUGGUAAACGAGGAUCUUUAGUUCCAUGGUCGCUCACACCUUAAAGCUCCUGAAAGGACAUCAGCUCAUUACACUGAUUAUGCUUCUUCCACACAAUUGCCUCGUAGUCGCCGGAGGUGCCGGCGAGAUCGGCUUUGAUAUGGAGUUUGUAAAUGUUUCCUGCCAGGUGCUGAAACCACCCCAUAGAAACUUUCUCGAAUGCCAGGUUCCAGUUUUCCUUCUUGUUCUGCUCCUCCACGGCGUAUUCUCCCAACUCCUGGAUGUGCUUCUCUUCCACGUCUUCGACCUUGGUCCAUCUGAUAGCUUGCGUGUGAGCCAUGAGACUUGUAGAACUUGUGGGUUUUGGAUGGGUUUUUGUGGGGUGGUGGUGGGUUGGAUUUAUAGACUGGAAAGAGACAGGGAUGCGAACUGCCUUUCCACUUUCUCGGAAGAAUACGAAUCUAGUUUUGUAUGGAAACUGACCUUCAUAUUAUCAGGUUUAUUUGCAUGGGAUAUAAUAAAAAGGAAAAAAAAAAAAAGAGAGAGAAAAAAGACCUAAAUAAAGAAAGAAAAAGCAAGUACAAUUUUUUAGGGGCUUUCUUUUUUUCUUUUCCUUUUCAAAUUAACAUUAACUUCUCUAAUUUAAAACUUGAUAAAAUUUUAGAAUAACAAAACCAUUAGAAAAAAGUUAUUCUCAAAGUCAUGUUUAAUAAUAGUUUUUUAAAACAAUCUUAUGUUAUUUAGAAAAAGGAAAACACGUUAGACAAUUAGAGAAUAUAAAAACAGUUUUCUAUUAUUAAAAAUCGAGAGCAAAUGUUUUUAGAAAAUAAUUUUAAAUUAUUUUUACUUAUUUUCUAAGGACAAUUCUAAAAAUAAUUAUAUAAAUAUGGAGACCAAUUAAAAAUAAACUAGUAUAAAUAAAAGUUAUUUUUAAAACUAAUUAAAAAAUAUAUUAAAAAUAUUUGAGAUUCUCAAACAAAUUUUUGUUUUAUAAAACUCUAAAAAACAAUUUUUAAAAACUAUGCUUUAAAUUCAUUUUAAAAAAACACUUUUCAAAGAUCAGCAAAGUUUUUCUUUUCUAAAAGGUAAAAUUAUAAUUAUUUUUUAAUAUAUAUAUAAUAAUUCUCCAUUGACACAAUAGCCACGUAGUGCGCCUUUACUAUGGAGAAUGAGCAUAUGGUCCGGGAUAGGAGUAGUGGGUUUCAAAAUAUUCUAUCACAUGAAGAAAUAGAUAGAAAAAUCGUCUGUUUCUAAUUUUUUAUUGAACUUCAUAUUCUUGUUUGGUGAUUGAUGUAGGACCAUGGAAUCCUUUAUACGUUUUUAUCUUCUCUUUUUCUAGUUGCUGCAGGAUAAGAGAAUGAAUGAACAAUUCUAAGGCCUAUCACAAAAGAAAUAGAUCAAAAGAAUUAUCUUUUUCCAAUCUUAUUACAUCUUUUUAUUUUUUAGUUAAUAAUGUACGAAAUAGAAUUAACGGUCUAUUUAUAUGCUCCUUCCCCACAAGUGAUGAAAGAAAAUGGAAUUAAUUCUUGAAGGAUAAUUGUUGUAGUAGUUGGAGUUAAUUUUGAGGAAGAAAGAAUAUGGGAAAAAAAAAAAUUAGGGAAGCAAAGAAGAUUGUUACAAGGGGAAUGAUAAAUAAUUUAUAAUUUGAUAAGUUGUAAAGAAAAAAAGACAAAGUAAUUGAAAGAAGGAGAUCGAGAAUCGUAUCCUUUUAAAUAUUUUGAGAUAUAUUAUUCAUAUGUGGACAAUGUCUAUACUAUCUCCUCAUCUCCACUUCUGAACUUAUUACCCAUCUCUAGCUUAUUUCUUAUCUUAGAUUGAACCGGAUUGAGAAUCUUUAUUAGGAAAACAAAUUCCUCAUCAAGACCAGGAAUCUUAUUUAGUUGGUUUUUAAAAUUUUAUAAUUUUAGUUUUAAAAAAGUUAAAAAUAAAAUUAUAUAUAAACUAGUAUAUCUAAAAUAAAAUCUUUUAUUAUAUUAAUAAUAAACUAGUAAUAAAAAAUAUUAUUGUAGACCCCCAUUUUGGGGAGCUAUCAUUCUUCUCACGUUUCCUUUCUUGCAGUUAGCUGUGGCCAAGUGUCACCAUCUUGCAUGGCCACGUGUCAUUCCCGGAUUAGUCAAUAUGAGAUCAAAAUAGUGGAAUUGAUGGACCAAUCAGAAGAAUAUUUGGCUGUUGAGAGGAGCGUAGGAGAGGGGUGCUUUUUCUGCCGGCUAAAAGAUAUUUUGAAGGGAUCUUUUUCUGUUAAGGGUGAGGCUUUUUGAGUGGAGUAAGGGAGGCUGGCAGCUGGGUGAGGUGCCGGGGAUGCAGUUAGGAUAUUUUUGGGCGGGAGGAGGUUUGGCAGAGGAUGGAGAGGCUGGUGACAGAGCAGAGAGCUUUAGAGAGAAAAGUGAGAGAGACAUUAGAGCUUUAAGGGAGGAUAGUUUAGCUUAAGGAAGGUGAGAGAAGGGAGAUUCUGGAGAAGCAAGCUGAGAGAACCAGAGUGCCUUUAGGAUGAGAGAGAGGUAACUGGGGGGAGGAUGUUUGCUGGAGAGUUGUGGACAACUUGAGGAAAAGAUGAGCCGAGAGUGAAGGAGAAAGGAUCUGAGAAAGAUAGAGUUGAAGAGGCGAGAGGAGGAACAACUCAAGAACUUUGAAAGACCAUCUCCAGGUACAUUGGUGGUAAUCUCUUGGACUAUUCUCACUCACUCUGUUUUCUUUCUAUCUCACAUUUUCUCUUGCUGUCUCUGUUUUCUUUUAUGAUCCUUGGUUAGUUGUUCGGGUAUAAGUGUGAUGCUGUAUUACUUUCCUCUGUACUUUUUGCUUAUUUGGAUAUGGCUCAUUCCCCUUUUGGUAUUUAUUUUAAACUCUCCUGAUGCACCACUGGCCAAAACCCCUGGAUCUCAAUAUGAAAGGGGAUCCCACUUAAUGCUUUGCUCACUCUGUUUACUCUGCCAUGGGUACACUAUAUCUUGUUUUAUUUCUUCCUCCAUUUCCGGUAUCUCAAUCCAUAUUUUGGUUUCUAGCUCAUGUUCCUGGAUUUGUUUUGGACUAUUGGUUUUGUGUUCUGGUUUGUGCUUGAGGGGAGAGGGUGGUGCUUUGGCUACUGCCACAGAUUCAGGGUUCCCAGUGGACGAGAUGCAGAUGAGUGAUACUGGUCCUUGAGGGUCUUGCACCGAGAUACAUUUUGGUAGAAUUGCUAAUAGUGAUGCUGUAUCAUUGGCCGACAAUGACGUUCCUCGUGUUAAGAUAUGGAACUUUUGUGUUUAUACAGUUCGACAGGGAAAGAGAUGGUUCUCUUAAAUCUCUGCCUGCUAAACAUGUCAACGCCGGAACGGGUUUUGAAAGAUUGACUUCCAUUCUUCAAGGCAAGACGAGUAAUUGUGAUAAUGAUGCACUCUUACUCGUCUUUGACGCUAUUCAACAGGCGACUAAUGCCUGAUCAUAUUCAGGGAAAGCUGGAUCAAAUUAUACAGAUAAAGUUGGCUUGGCAUACAGAGUUGUCGUUGAUCACUUAAGAACCUUUUCUUUUGUUAUUGUUGAUGGAUCUUGCCCAACUUAGAGCACUUUUGACUAGUGGUUUGGGUAUGGAUGGGAAACCACUAUGAAGGACGAUGCUGUUAUGAUGCUUGCCCGUUUUAAUGAUCAGGGAAUUUGGAUAUGGCAUUUUGUGUUUAUCAAGAAACCCAUGGGAUAUGGCAUAAAUGUUCCCUACAACAGCUUCAUGUCAAUCAAGAAACCCAUGCUCUGCUACAGAUGUUACUUAUCCUUACAAAAUUGCGUAUCUUACCAAUGGUUCUGGUGCACAUAUUAUAUUUGGUUGUAGUGAGGACCAGAUUGGCUCCUUUUUGGAUGGGGUUACUCUCAAUGGCAUAUUUGGAUUUGGUACGAGCGGUGUUCGUUCCUAUCAUUUUAGCAAAGGAAAGGCCAUUACUGUUGGGGUAUAUUGAGAAGGCGGGAACCCUUGACAAUGGAGUCUUCCCCUGCACGCAUUGUAUUGAGUGGAAGCCGAUAACCCCAACCCAGAUCAAUGGAGCCGACACCCAGACACUCAUGCCUGAAGCUUCAAAUUCCUAACCAAUCGGAACCCAUCUUCAUCAAGGCCACCUGGUUUCCUUCCCAUUUCCACCUCUCUAUCACCGACAGCCUCCACACCUGGCUCUGUAACGCAUCGGAAGACGAGGUCCGAGAGCGAGCCGCCCAGUGGGAUCAACCUGUUUCUGAUUACAUCGCCUUGGCUGAGCGGUUCCUAGGGUUUCAGCAGCCCGGUUCGGUUUACGGGUUCUCCGACGCGGGUGACGGCCAUAGAAGAUUGCCAUGGACAUUUGAGAAGGAAGGGACUAAGCUAGAAUGGCGGUGGAAAUGUGGACCCUUCAUUGGAGCUACUCUAGCUACCCUGCAGCCACGUGUUUCAUGCAGAAUGCUUGGAGCAGUUGACUCCAAAUCAAGCCUCCACCCUUGCAUGAACUAUGCAUGGCCACCUUUGACCACGUGUCACCUCCUUUUAUUCCUCUCAUUUCACCAUCCUUAGUUUUUGAAAAUAAUCUUCCUAAACUCUAGUUUGCGAAUAAUUUUUCAAAUUCCUUUUUUUCAAAUAAUUUCAUCUGUUUAAUUUUUCAUCCUUAGUUUUUUCGUUUAGGUUCCAAAAAUCAUCUUUUCAAUAAAAUUUGGCCAUCAUUCUCAUUCUGGUAGGUCACUUUCAAAUUUUCUUUGUUUUUUUAAAUGUUUUAAAAUAAGCAUGAAUUAAAUUCCGUAAUUCCGAAUAAUGGAAUUUAUGGAAUUAAUUCAUGCAAAAAUAAACGGGCUUUGGUGGGGACCCUACAUAAGUGAUUUCCUUAUGAUUAAUUUAUCGAUUGAUUUAAUUGCCAUGAAUGAUAGAUUUUAUUAUGCUCUGUGACAUGUCUCGUGAUUGUUAUUAUGCUUUCCUCUCUGGAUAGCGCAUGGUGGCUCGUUGAUCAGGUACACAUCUAUUCUCACUUUGGUCACUCUAUAUACAUGUAUUGAUUCCCAUAUGUGCAUGAUCAAUUCGGGUAUCCAUUGAUUUCUUUAUUAGAUGCCACGAUUGCUUCAUUUUAUUAGUAGAGACCCGACUUUAGGGACUUAAAGGGGUGCUACGGUCUUUACCGUACCUUCCUGAUAAGUAACCUGACCCCCGAACCCGAUCCGGUUUUUCAUGGACCGCAUUUUCCAAAACAAGGAGUCACACUUAGGGGUUUUCUUUCUUAUUUUGUUUACCCUUUAAAUAAUAAAACAAAAAUAAGUGGCGACUCCAAGUCAUUUCUUUUUAAUAAAUAAAAAUCAUUUUCAAAUAAAAAUCGAGCUCGCCAUCGAGUGGGAAACGCAAUGAGUUGAAAUGCGGGGUCCACAAAAUGGUGUGUCAAACUCGUACCGAUGCGGGGUCCACAAAAGGUGAUCCAACCGAUACCCAAACUCGUACCGAUCUCAGAGCACUCUCAACUGGAGACUAAAAAAAAGAGGGAGUGUCAAAUCCGAACUAUGACUACAGAGGCUACUAAAAGCCCUCAGAUGCACCCACGUGUAAAGAGGAAGUCCUAAUCGAAGGAUCUACGGCUCAACCUACGAGGUCAAUGGUGGCUCUAAAUGGAUAUGGGUGGACUUUAAAAGAUCCAUAGCAGAAGCGAUCAUACCUUCCAACGGUACGCAACCCUCUACACACCUCCUAAGAGACGGGACGCUUCCAUGCAAGGUGGUCAUCACCUCCACACAUGCACUACCUCGACAUCCCAAGGGAUUUCCUAUGGUGAGACCUCUCAAAACUCUCAACGCUUAAUGGUCGACUAGAGUGCACAGUGAACGGUGUGGGUGCAUCCGAAAACCUUAUGAAACUAAAAGAGAACACACUGGCCACACAAAUAUCCUGAAAUCUAACUCUGGGCUAUAUAAGUCUUCGAAGUUCGGACUCCAAUCAGCAUCAAUAUGUCGACCACCUCCAGAAUGCUCCCAAACAUAGAUAUAGCCCAUCGCUAGACCCUACUCCUAAUCACUAGCUCGGUCGAAGAGAAAACAAAGCAACAAGUCUCGUAUCAAAUAUGAGACCAAGGAAAACAAUGUCGACCGAGACUAGGGACUUGAAAAUAAGGAGAUAAGUGUGUGUCCCACAUAGACACGCAACUCAUGCAGUCACAUCAGAAGAAAGGCAGUCACGCGACAGGCAGUCAGGCAGAGUACAAGAUAUAUCACUCAUGCACACAUACAAGCUAUGACAAUCAGAUGAAAAAGUGAUACAAAUAUCAUGCUCAAAGACAAUCAAGAGAAUAUAUAAUCCAGACAAUCGACAUGUCAAAUCAAACGAUGUAUAACAAUGAAUCCAUAUAUGCAAGGUGGUCAAAACAAUCAUGGCAAAUAUCAGGAUGACUAUGCUAAGCAAGGCAAGAUGAUCAAUCAAUAUAAUCAGUAUGUCAGUGUACUCAACAAUCAUGGAAAUGAAGCAUAGAAAAAAAACAAAAUCCUCAAUCAAGAUAAUCAAUCUCAUAAUCAGCAUGUCAAAUAUCUCAUACAAAUAUAUCAAUGAAGCAUGAAGAAACUGGCUAUAUUAGAAUCCUCAAUCAAAAUAAUCAACCAACANNNNNNNNNNNNNNNNNNNNNNNNNNNNNNNNNNNNNNNNNNNNNNNNNNNNNNNNNNNNNNNNNNNNNNNNNNNNNNNNNNNNNNNNNNNNNNNNNNNNCCAUUUUGUGGACCCCGCAUUUCGGCUCAUUGCGUUUCCCACUCGAUGACGAGCUCGAUUUUUAUUUGAAAAUGAUUUUUAUUUAUUAAAAAUAAAUGACUUGGAGUCGCCACUUAUUUUUGUUUUAUUAUUUAAAGGGUAAACAAAAUAAGAAAGAAAAACCCUAAGUGUGACUCCUUAUUUUGGAAGAGGCGGUCUGUGAAAAAUCAGAUCGGGUUCAGGGGUUAGGUUACUUAUCAGGAAGGUACGGUAAAGAUCGUAGCACCCCCUAAGUCCCUAAAGUCGGGUCUCUACUAAUAAAAUGAAGCAAUCGUGGCAUCUAAUAAAGAAAUCAAUGGAUACCCGAAUUGAUCAUGCACAUAUGGGAAUCAAUACAUGUAUAUAGAGUGACCAAAGUGAGAAUAGAUGUGUACCUGAUCAACGAGCCACCAUGCGCUAUCCAGAGAGGAGGUUAGUGCAUAAUAACAAUCACGAGACAUGUCACAGAGCAUAAUAAAAUCUAUCAUUCAUGGCAAUUAAAUCAAUCGAUAAAUUAAUCAUAAGGAAAUCACUUAUGUAGGGCCCCCACCAAGGCCCGUUUAUUUUUGCAUGAAUUAAUUCCAUAAAUUCCAUUAUUCGGAAUUACGGAAUUUAAUUCAUGCUUAUUUUAAAACAUUUAAAAAAACAAAGAAAAUUUGAAAGUGACCUGCCAGAAUGAGAAUGACGGCCAAAUUUUAUUGAAAAGAUGAUUUUUGGAACCUAAACGAAAAAACUAAGGAUGAAAAAUUAAACAGAUGAAAUUAUUUGAAAAAAAGGAAUUUGAAAAAUUAUUCGCAAACUAGAGUUUAGGAAGAUUAUUUUCAAAAACUAAGGAUGGUGAAAUGAGAGGAAUAAAAGGAGGUGACACGUGGUCAAAGGUGGCCAUGCAUAGUUCAUGCAAGGGUGGAGGCUUGAUUUGGAGUCAACUGCUCCAAGCAUUCUGCAUGAAACACGUGGCUGCAGGGUAGCUAGAGUAGCUCCAAUGAAGGGUCCACAUUUUCACCGCCAUUCUAGCUUAGUCCCUUCCUUCUCAAAUGUCCAUGGCAAUCUUCUGUGGCCGUCACCCGCGUCGGAGAACCCGUAAACCGAACCGGGCUGCUGAAACCCUAGGAACCGCUCAGCCAAGGCGAUGUAUAUAGAGAAAUAUACUGCUGGAUUAAAUAAACUAUUUCCUCCUCUGUUAUUCAAUUGAUCUGUACGUAAAUACAUACAAUAUCACAGAGAACUAUUUUAGGAAAUAUUUACAGCAAUUACUAUGACAAAAUAACUAUAUACCAAUCUCGGCUAAUAAUCACAUAAAUAGAAACAGAUCAAAGACUUUAUUCAAAUGGCUUGAUUGUAGGCUGAAAUCAUGAAGGUUUGACUUGAUCUUGAUUUUGGCAAUCUUCCUUAAUACGCCCCCGCAAGAUUGAGCUUCCAUCGGCAAGACCAAUCUUGGUACAUAACAAUUCAGUCCGUUGCCGUGACAAGGGUUUUGUCAAGAGAUCAGCAAGUUGAUCUUGCGUGUGAACAUGACGAACAUGAAGGGUCCCAUUUUGAACAAGCUCUCGGACAAAGUGUAAAUCAAUCUGAAUAUACUUCAUGCGAGAAUGAUUAACUGGAUUAAAACUCAGAUGUGUGGCGCCAAGAUUGUCACAUAGCAACAAGGGAGGCACCUUGAGUGGAAAACCGAGUUCAUGAUGUAAGGAGUUCAGCCACACAGUUUCAGACGUAGCAUUGGCAAGAGCACGAUAUUCAGCUUCCGUCGAUGAGCGAGCAAUAGCUCGUUGUUUCUUGGAGCUCCAAGAAAUGGGAUUUGUGCCAAGAAAACUAAUAUAAGCCGAAGUAGAGGUUCUGUCAUCCACAUUCCCUACCCAGUCAGCAUCAGAGAACGUGGUUAAAACUGAAGUUGUGUUUCUAGUAAGCUGAAUACCAUGAAAAAUGGUUUGUUUCAAGUAACGAAGCAGUCUCUUCGUGGCUGUCCAGUGGGCUGUAGUUGGCUUAUGCAUGAAUUGAGAUAGCUUAUUCACAGCAAACGAAAUGUCCGGUCGGGUCAGUGAAAGAUACUGAAGACUACCAAUGACACGCCGAAAGUCAGUGCUGUCAACAGGUGCUGUGCCAUCAAACAAUUUCAGAGAAGCAGUUGUGGAUAAAGGAGUGGACACAUCCUUAGCACCAAGCAUAUUCGUUGUGGACAAUAAGUCACGAAUGUAUUGAUGCUGUGACAAGAAUAGACCAGCACGAGUAGGAAUAACCUCUACUCCCAGAAAGAAGCUAUGGUUUCCCAUAUCUUUUAGGGAAAAAUUUUCACCCAAUUUCUGAAUUAUGUGAUCCACAAACUGAAUAUCAUUGCCAGUAAUUACAAGAUCAUCAACGUAAACCAAAAAAUAGCAAAUGAUAGGACCAUGUGUAUAAAUAAAUAGAGAAGAAUCAGCUUUGGAAUUUUUGAACCCAAGCUGAAAAAGAGCAGUUCUUAGAGUUGUGUACCAAGCUCGAGGAGCCUGUCGAAGCCCAUAAAUGGCUUUUCUCAAUCGACACACAUGAUCAGGCUUACUGGUAUCUUUAAACCCUGGAGGUUGCAUCAUAUAAACAGUUUCUGUGAGGGUUCCAUGUAAAAAAGCAUUGUUGAUGUCCAUUUGGCGUAAAGGCCACCCAUUCAUCACGGCUAUAGUCAAAACACAUCGAAUAGUGGCUGGCCUAACAACAGGACUGAAGGUUUCCUUGUAAUCUAGGCCCGGUCUUUGAGUAUAGUCUUUGGCCACAAGCCUGGUCUUAAAUUUGUCCACCGAGCCAUCAGCUUUGCGUUUUACUCUAAACACCCAUUUACAGCCCACGGGUGUACAGUUUGGGAGGGGUGGAACCAAAUCCCAGGUUCCAUGUUUCAUCAAGGCAGUGAGCUCAGUGGACAUAGCAUCACGCCACUGAGGAUGGUUCACGGCUUGAGUUGCACAAGUUGGCUCAAUUGCUAGAGGAAUGGGAUGUUUGGAAACCAAAUGAAGUUGCUUGGGUUUAAAGAUGUUGUUCAUGGAACGGGUUGUCAUUUUGUGGAGACGAGGGUUCCCAGUUUGAACACACGAAGGGGGAAUGGAAUGGGACUGAGAUAAAGUAAGAUCAGCAACCGUGUGUGUGUGAGUCGGAUGAAGGGAGGAAAGAAGAACAGGGUCAUGCGAGAUGAGAACAUUUGAAUGAGAACCGGAAUUUCUAAGAACAUCAGUCAAAGGAAAAUUAGGAGAAGAGAGAGGGGGCUUACCUGGAGGUGAUGGAGAUGCAGCAGAAACAUCGGUCGGAAGCACAUGUGAUGGUGCCGAAUCAGAGGAGUGCACGGACGGAAUCACUUGAGGAGGAACUCGCAUGGGCUGAGAAGAAAAUGGAAUAAAGGAAGUAGGGCACAGAUGAGAAGAAGACUCGGGAUGGGCUGGGCUCUGGGCUUGCUCGGAUUGAAAAGGCAGUUGGGUCUCAUCAAAUAACACAUGCCGAGACACAUAAGUUUUGUGGGUCUUAAGAUCCAAACAAAUAUAGGCAUUUUGAGUUUGAGAAUAGCCCAAAAAAAGACAUGGAAUGGACUUAGGUUGCAUCUUGUUAUUAUUAUAUGGACGUGUAAGGGGAUAGCAAAGCGAACCAAAUUUUUUUAAUUUAAGAUAAUUUGGUUUCUGUCCAAAAAGAGCCUCAAAGGGGGACUUGUUGGUGAGAAGAGGAGUCGGUUGCCUAUUUAUGAGAUAGGUGGCAGUUCGAAAAGCAUGAGGCCAAUAUGAAAGAGGCAAGGAAGCAUCCGAAAGUAAGGUGAGGCCAGUUUCAACAAGAUGUCGAUGACGGCGUUCAGAGACUCCAUUUUGUUGCGGGGUGUAAGGAGCAGUAGUAUAGUGACUAAUGCCGUGAAGAUUUAAAAAAGGUUUGAGAGAAAUAAAUUCACCACCAUUAUCGGAGUAAAGGGUUUUAAUUUUGGCUUGAAACCGAGUUUCAACAAAAAUUUUAAAUUGUGGAAAAAUAGUUGACACACUCGAUUUGGUAGCCAUGGGAUAAAACCACAUGUAUAUCGUGUAGUGGUCCACAAAAAGAAGAUAAUAACGAGAACCAUCAAGACCCGUUGAGUGUGCGGGACCCCAAACAUCCGUAUAAAUAAUUUUAAGUGGACCAGUACUCGAAAGACUAGUUGUGCGAAAAGGUUGUUGAUGAGAUUUAUUAAUAGAACAAGAACGACAUAACAUGGUUAUUUUAUUUGUAGUGGUAGGAAGAGAAAAAAUAGAAACAAGAUUUUUAACAAUGGGAUAGGAAGGAUGACCAAGACGCUUGUGCCACCCAUCAAGCAACAUCCGUUCAUGCACAUUAGCAACCUUUUGUGAAAAAUUUCCCACAAGUGAUUCCGAAAAAAUGUAAAUGCCGUUCUCACAUGAACCUCUUAGUAGGAUCGCCCCUGUGAUCGGUUCCUUCACAAGAAAAUAAGAUGGGUGAAACUCAACAUAUACAUUAUUUUGUGAGGUAAAAUGAUGAACAUAAAUCAAUUUUUUUUAAAGAUUUGGAACACAGAGAGUAUCACGCAAGAUAAAGGUUCGAUUGGGUGAGUGUAUAGCUAAAGAACCAACAUGUGAAACAGCCAAACCUGAACCAUCACCCAGAACCACUUCAUCGGUGCCGUCAUAUUCAGAGUGAAUAGAUAAAUUCUGAAGAUCACCAGUGAUGUUGUGGGAGGCAGCGGAAUCAAGGAGCCAUUUUUGCUCUUUCAUGGUAGAAGUUGUUGCACUGUUUGCAGUAAUUUCACUGGGCUUCAGUUGAGGACAAUUUUUGGCUGUAUGGCCCAACUCAUCACAGAAUUGGCAUUUGGGCCUAUAAGGCCGCUGGUUGUUGCUGGGCCGAUUGGAACCAUUGGGACGUCGACCAUCACGAUUUCCACUUCGGGCUGGAGCUUGCCCAGACUGACGCUGAGGCCCAUUCGGCUUGCUAUAGCUGCGUUGUUGACCUCCCGAAGAACCAGACUUCCUGGUUGUAUAGUUUGCAGCGGCCACCAGUUGCUGAGUAGCAGUUUCAAGGCGGCGCAAAUAAUGUUUGUGGCCGACCAGAAGAUCGUGGAGCUCCUCAAAGGCAAGAGACUUUUCGCGAGCUCGGAUUGGUGCUACAAUUUCCCUGAAAUCAGAACCUAAGCCAUUAAGCACAUAGAGGGUUAGGUCAUCAUCAGAAAUGGGGUGGUCAAUAAUGGCAAUUUCAUCUGCCAGAGACUUCACAGCAUGUAGAUAAUCAGAGAUAAGCCGAUUUCCACGCUGUAUUAAGGUGAGUUCCUCUUUUAAUUGCAUAGCCCGAGUUCGUGAUUUGCUAGCAUAGAGGGUGUUCAAUUUUUGCCAAGCCUCAUGGGACGUUUUUGCUGUUGCAAUGAGUGGGGUGAUGGUAGGGGAAGUGGAAGCAAGAAGGGCACUGAGUAUAAGUUUGUCUUGCCGAACCCAAUGAGUUUUGUGUAGGGCAGAAAUAGAGAGAUCACUCGGAGAGGGACAUUGAGAGAUGCCGGUGACAUAAUCAAGCAAAUCAUAUCCUAUGAGUAAGGCUUCAAAUUGAGCACGCCAUUGAGGAAAAGUAGAAGGAGUCAAUUUUUCAUUAAUCUGGGCAGUGAUUUGAGAGCAACAAGAGUGGUUUCAGUGGAGGAAAUGAGGUGGGUGUUGAGAUGAAUUUGAGGUUGUUCGGGUGAGGAAGACAUUGGGGAAAUGGGAGGGAUCGACUCGUUGGAGAAGGGCUGCUCUGAUACCAUAUAGAGAAAUAUACUGCUGGAUUAAAUAAACUAUUUCCUCCUCUGUUAUUCAAUUGAUCUGUACGUAAAUAUAUACAACAUCACAGAGAACUAUUUUAGGAAAUAUUUACAGCAAUUACUAUGACAAAAUAACUAUACACCAAUCUCGGCUAAUAAUCACAUAAAUAGAAACAGAUCAAAGACUUUAUUCAAAUGGCUUGAUUGUAGGCUGAUAUCAUGAAGGUUUGACUUGAUCUUGAUUUUGGCAAUCUUCCUUAAUAAUUAGAAAUGGGUUGAUCCCACUGGGUGGCUCGCUCUCGGACCUCGUCUUCCGAUGAGUUACAGAGCCAAGCGUGGAGGCUGUCGGUGAUAGAGAGGCGGAAAUGGGAAGGAAACCAGGUGGCCUUGAUGAAGAUGGGUUCCGAUUGGUUAGGAAUUUGAAGCUUCAGGCAUGAGUGUCUAGGUGUCGGCUCCAUUGAUCUGGGUUGGGGUUAUCGGCUUCCACUCAAUACAAUGCGUGCAGGGGAAGACUCCAUUGUCAAGGGUUCCCGCCUUCUCAAUAUACCCCAACAGUAAUGGCCUUUCCUUUGCUAAAAUGAUAGGAACGAACACCGCUCGUACCAAAUCCAAAUAUGCCAUUGAGAGUAACCCCAUCCAAAAAGGAGCCAAUCUGGUCCUCACUACAACCAAAUAUAAUCUGUGCACCAGAACCAUUGGUAAGAUACGCAAUUUUGUAAGGAUAAGUAACAUCUGUAGCAGAGCAUGGGUUUCUUGAUUGACAUGAAGCUGUUGUAGGGAACAUUUAUGCCAUAUCCCAUGGGUUUCUUGAUAAACACAAAAUGCCAUAUCCAAAUUCCCUAAUCAUUAAAACGGGCAAGCAUCAUAACAGCAUCGUCCUUCAUAGUGGUUUCCCAUCCAUACCCAAACCACUAGUCAAAAGUGCUCUAAGUUGGGCAAGAUCCAUCAAUAAUAACAAAAGAAAAGGUUCUUAAGUGAUCAGCGACAACUCUGUAUGCCAAGCCAACUUUAUCUGUAUAAUUUGAUCCAGCUUUCCCUGAAUAUGAUCAGGCAUUAGUCGCCUGUUGAAUAGCGUCAAAGACGAGUAAGAGUGCAUCAUUAUCACAAUUACUUAUCUUGCCCUGAAGAAUGGAAGUCAAUCUUUCAAAACCCGUUCCGGCGUUGACAUGUUUAGCAGGCAGAGAUUUAAGAGAACCAUCUCUUUCCCUGUCAAACUGUAUAAACACAAAAGUUCCAUAUCUUAACACGAGGAACGUCAUUGUCGGCCAAUGAUACAACAUCACUAUUAGCAACUCUACCAAAAUGUAUCUCGGUGCAAGACCCUCAAGGACCAGUAUCACUCAUCUUCAUCUCAUCCACUAGGAACCCUGAAUCUGUGGCAGUAGCCAAAGCACCACCCUCUCCCCUCAAACACAAACCAGAACACAAAACCAAUAGUCCAAAACAAAUCCAGGAACAUGAGCCAGAAACAAAAUAUGGAUUGAGAUACCGGAAAUGGAGGAAGAAAUAAAACAAUAUAUAGUGUACCCAUGGCAGAGUAAACAGAGUGAGCAAAGCAUUAAGUGAGAUCCUCUUUCAUAUUGAGAUCCAGGGGUUUUGGCCAGUGGUGCAUCAGGAGAGUUUAAAAUAAAUACCAAAAGGGGAAUGAACCAUAUCCAAAUAAGCAAAAAGUACAGAGGAAAGUAAUACAACAUCACACUUAUACCCGAACAACUAACCAAGGAUCAGAAAAGAAAACAGAGACAACAAGAGAAAAUGUGAGAUAGAAAGAAAACAGAGUGAGUGAGAAUAGUCCAAGAGAUUACCACCAAUGUACUUGGAGAUGGUCUUUCAAAGUUCUUGAGUUGUUCCUCAUCUCGCCUCUUCAACUCUAUCUUUCUCAGAUCCUUUCUCCUUCACUCUCGGCUCAUCUUUUCCUCAAGUUGUCCACAACUCUCCAGCAAACAUCCUUCCCCCAAUUACCUCUCUCUCAUCCUAAAGGCACUCUGGUUCUCUCAGCUUGCUUCUCCAGAAUCUCCCUUCUCUCACAUUCCCUAAGCUAAACUAUCUUCCCUUAAAGCUCUAAUGUCUCUCUCACUUUUCUCUCUAAAGCUCUCUGCUCUGUCACCCAGCUGCCAGCCUCCCUUACUCCACUCAAAAAGGCUCACCCUUAACAGAAAAAGAUCCCUUCAAAAUAUCUCUCAGCCGGCAGAAAAAGCACCCCUCUCCUACGCUCCUCUCAAUAGCCAAAUAUUCUUCUGAUUGGUCCAUCAAUUCCACUAUUUUGAUCCCAUAUUGACUAAUCCGGGAAUGACACGUGGCCAUGCAAGAUGGUGGCACUUGGCCACAGCUAGCUGCAAGAAAGGAAACGUGAGAAGAAUGAUAGCUCCCCAAAAUGGGGGUCUACAAUUAUAUAUAUAUAUACUUGGGGUGAGGAGUAGGGUCUUUGUCUCUCAUUGAGGUUUUUAAAAUUUUCCUUGUCAAUGAUCUUGAUUAUUACUCCUAAUCCCCGUCUCAAUGUUUAUUUAUUUAUUAAUUUGUCAUUUCUCAAUUUCUACUUUAAUUUAGUACUAGAUGUCAUGACAAUACUAGAUGGAGUUGAUAUAGAGUUUGCAAAGAGGUGCAAGAGUGUGCAUCUAGUUCUUGCAUACUUGUGGAAGCUCUAAAAUUUUUGUGAGCCUGGUGCAUUGCCACAACAAGAGGACCCUAAUCCUAGAAAGUUGAGUGAUGCCUGCUAGGAUGAAACUAAAAUGGUUUCUACUCAUGUUUAAGUUUUUAAGGAAGAUAAGUUCCUAAGUCAACAAGAAUUGCAAAUCUAAUUCCCUUUAUAAGGAGCAUAAAGCUAGAAAGAGAGCCUAAAAUAAAUAAUAAUCAUAAUAGAAAAUACUAGCUCAUAAGGAGUUUUGAAAUUAAUAAAUGUUGGCCAACCUACCAUCCUAAUUAAUUGAUCAAUCUAUAAAGACCCUUCGUAAGCUCUUUUACAACCAUAUUUUGUGCCAAAAUGACCUUAUACUAGCUUAUGAAUAAAGAACACAUAUAUCCCUUAAAAACUAUAUCACCAAAAAAUAUGAACUCUAAUGGAGACUUUUAGACCAUAAGAAAAUACUGGUUCCCUUAGAAUUUAAUUUAUUUAAAGUUGACUUAAUAUCCUACUAUAAAGAGGUAAUUACAUUAUAAUAUCCUAUGAUAUUAUAACGAGAUAUAAAGCUUAGGUUUGUAACCUAUUAUCCAGUAUAUGCAAACUCCUUAUGAAUUGGUAUACAUAAUCUAAUGAUGUAGAUGCUAUUAGACUCUAAAUGUUACCUCUACCACCCUUUAGUGUUAAAUCCUCCUAUUAUGUGAUUAAUUAACAUAUUCUGAUUCUUUUAAGAGCAUAUGUCAAAUUCCAGAUAGAGAAUUGCUAUGAUUAUAUAUUUCAUGAUCAUAUGCCUUUAAGAUUACCUAAUGGGAUGCGUUGUCUCAAUCCCAUGAAAUAUCAUAGUGUCUAUCUUGAGGAUAUUUAUUUUCGCUUGCCUUGAUCAACAAUGACCCAAUUCCUAAGUAACAUACAACCACCUUAGGGUCUCACCAUAGGUUAAAAUCAUUGACUUCAACACAAGUUUAAUAUUUUCUGAAGGUUGAGAUUUCAGUAUAGUAGCUUGGUGAAUUCAUGAUUACCUGAUAACAAAUGUCAUGAUUCAUUGUAGGUAAAAAAAUUGAGAGCCUAUUUGACAUUUGUUUUGAAGAAUAGCUUUCUAUUUUUCAAAAAAAAAAAAAAAAAACAUGUUUGAUAACGAGAAAGUUGUUUUCUAUUUUUUGUUCUUAUUAACAAAAAAUAAGGUAUUUAUAAGAGAAUAUUGUUUAGUUGUUUUUAAUUAUUUUUUAAGGGUUGUUUACAAAAAUAAUUAUACAAACAUGUAAAAAGAUUAAAAAUAAGGUACUAGACAUAAAAAUUAUUUUCUAAACAUAUUUAAAAAUAUUAAAAAUAGGUUAAAAAAAUUUUGAGUUCCCAAAUAGAUGUUUGUUCUAUAAAACAUUAAAGAAAAGUUUUCAAAAACUAUUGUUUAGAACUAUUUUAGAAAAUAAUUACCAAAUAGGGUUUGAGUUUUUGUUCUUUUAGGUCUCUCACCAUAAGCUCGUUUGCUUUAUGUAGGGGUCACUUUUUCUUUCAAUUAAGGAAGCUUAUAUAUAUUUAAAAAUAUUUUUUUGAUUUAAUUCUAAAUAAAUCUUAAAACUAAAUAGUCUUUAAUAGUGUUAAGUAUUAUGUUAUUUGUUUUUUUAAUAUUUUAUUUUAUUAAGUAUUAAAAAUUAAAGAAAACAAACAAAAUAUUUAGUUUUUUUAUUUAAUAAAAAAAUUUAAGAAAUAAAUAAUAAAUUAACAACACUAACAAAUAAAUGAAUGAUUUGAAAUUUGAAAGCAAAUUACUUUUAACAAAAAAUUAGAAAAAAAAAACACCACCUCAAUCUACUACUUUAAAGCCAAUGGUGCUAGUUCUAGGCCUAAUCCCUAUUGUUAGAAGGAUAUUAAAUAAUAGAAAAACCAAAAGUUUUUUGAUAUCUAAUCAUAAUUAAAUUUUUAUUAAAGAACUAAUCAUAAGGAAAUGAUAUAAUAUAAAAAAAAAUCUAACAUAAAGUAAAAAUUAGUUCCUAGUCCUUACCCCAACUCUUCUUCCCAUCUAAUGCUAAAUUUCCUCCUACACAAUCCUUACUCAUUUUUACUCAUUUUUAUGGAUAUAAGAUUAUUCAAUAUGAUUAUGGUUUUGACUGUGCAGUGAUAACCAAACGAUGAUAAUUGUUUUACCAACAAUAUAAUCGACUAUCAAUUCAAAGUUUGGUCAACAAUAUUUUAUGAUAAUUUCUCAGAACCAGGCCAAAGACUAGAGAGUGUGAAAUUUAUGUAUUUAAGCAGUUGUUCUAAGACUGGAUAUAUUCAAGCUGUUCUUAUUACAUUACAGCAACCAUUCCUCGCCAAUCUCCUUCCACCCUAGGAGUUUAUUUUAGUACAAUAUAUAUGGGAGGACUUUGUUUAUUUUUGGUAAACGAGGGUCUUUAAUUCCAUGGUCGCUUACACCUUAAAGCUCCUGAAAGGACAUCAGCUCAUUGCACUGAUUAUGCUUCUUCCACACAAUUGCCUCGUAGUCGCCGGACGUGCCGGCGAGAUCGGCUUUGAUAUGGAGUUUGUAAAUGUUUCCUGCCAGGUGCUGAAACCACCCCAUAGACACUUUCUCGAAUUCCAGGUUCCAGUUUUCCUUCUUGUUCUGCUCCUCCACGGCGUAUUCUCCCAACUCCUGGAUGUGCUUCUCUUCCACGUCUUGGACCUUGGUCCAUCUGAUAGCUUGCGUGUGAGCCAUGAGACUUGUAGAACUUGUGGGUUUUGGAUGGGUUUUUGUGUGGUGGUGGUGGUGAUGGUGGGUUGGAUUUAUAGACUGGAAAGAGACAGGGAUGCGAACUGCCUUUCAACUUUCUCGGAAGAAUACGAAUCUAGUUUUGUAUGGAAACUGACCUUCAUAUUAUCAGGUUUAUUUGCAUGGGAUAUAAUAAAAAGGAAAAAAAAAAAAAGAGAGAGAAAAAAGACCUAAAUAAAAAAUAAAAAAAAGCAAGUACAAUUUUUUAGGGGCUUUCUUUUUUUGUUUUCCUUUUCAGAUUAACAUUAACUUCUCUAAUUUAAAACUUGAUAAAAUUUUAGAUAACAAAACUAUUAAAAAAAAAAAAAGGGUUAUUCUCAAGGUCAUAUUUGGUAAUGAUUUUUGAAAACAGUUGUAUAAUAAUUAGAAAAGGAAAACACGUAUGAUAAUUAGAAUACAAAAACAGUUUUUCAUUAUUAAAAAUUGAGAAUAGUAUGUUUUUAAAAAUUAUUUUUAAUUCUUUUUACUUAAUUUUUAAUGACUAAUUAUAUAAAUAGGGAGGAUGAUUAAAAAUAAAGUAUUGUAAAUAAAAAUUAUUUUUAAAAUAUAUUAAAAAACAUAGAAAAAAUGUUUAAAAUAUUUCUAAAUUUUAAGCAAAUUUUUGUUAUACAAAACUUCAAAAAGACAUUUUUCAAACAUAACCAAAGUUUUUAUUUUCUAAAAAAUAAAAUUACAAUUAUUUCUUAACAUAUAUAUAUAUAUAUAUAUUGACAUGUACAAUAGCCACGUAGUGCGUCUCAGAGGAGAACGAGCAUUUGGUCCAGGAUAGGAGUGGCGGGCUUCAAAAUAUUCUAUUACAUGAAGGAAUAGAUAGAAAAAUUGUACGUUUCUAAUUUUUGACUGAAUUUCAUAUUCUUGUUUGGUGAUUGAUGUUGGACCAUAGAAUCCAUCAUACAUUUUUGACUUUAUCUUUUUCUAGUUGCUGCAGAAUAAGAGAAUGAAUGAACAAUUCUAAGCCCUAUCACAAAAGAAUUAUUUUUUUCCAAUCUUAUUACAUCUUUAUGUUUUUUUAUUGUUAAUAAUGUACGAAAUAGAAUUAACUGUCUAUUUAUAUGCUCCUUCCCCACAAGCGAUGAAGGAAAAUGGAAUUAAUUCUUGAAGGAUGAUUGUUGUAGCAAUUGGAGUUAAUUUUGAGGAAGAGAGAAUAUAUAUGGGAAAGAAAAAUAAUUAGGGAAGCAAAGAAGAUUGUUACAAGGGAAUGAUAAAUAAUUUAUAAUUUGAUAAGUUGUAAAGAAAAAACGACAAAGGAAUUGAAAGGUGGAGAGAAUUGUAUUCUCUUAUAUAUUUUGAGAUAUAUUAUUCAUAUGUGGACAAUGUCUAUGCCAUCUCCACUUCUAAAUUUAUUCCCCAUCUCUACCUCAUUUCUUAUCUUAGAUUGGAUGGGAACUGAGAAUCUUUAUUAGGAAAACAAAUGCCUCAUCUAGAUUGAGAAUCUUGUUUAAUUGGUUUUUAAAAUUUCAUAAUUUUAGUUUUAAAAAAGUUUAAUAAAAAAUUAUAUAUAAACAAGUAUAUUUAAUAUAAAUUUUUUAUAAUACAAUUUUUUUUUUUGAGAAAAAAAGUGUAUAUUAUAUAUAUAUAUAUGUAAUGGUAUAUUAGGACUUGGGAUGGGAUGGUUUUGGGGUGAGGAAUAGGGUCUUUGUCCCUCAUUGAGGUUUUUAAAUUUUUCAUUGUCAUUGAUUUGAUUAUUACUCCUUAUCCUUGUACCAAUGUUUUUUUUUUUUUUUUUGGUAGUUUUUUUUCAUCCCUCAAUUUAUACUUUAAUUUAGUACUAGAUCUCAUAAAAAUACUAGAUGGAGUUGAUAUAGAGUUUUCAAAGAUUGGCAACAGUGUACAUCUAGUUCUUGCAUACUUGUGGAAGCUCUAAAAUUUUUGUGAGCCUGGUGUAAAGCCACAACAGAAGGAGCCUAAUCCUAGGAAGUUGAGUGAUGCUUGCUAGUAUGACACUAAAAUAGUUUCUACUUAUGUUUAAGUUUUUCAAGGAAGAUAAGCUCCUAAGUCAACAAGAAUUGUAAAUCUAAUUCCCUUUAAGGAGCAUAAAGCUAGAAAUAGACCCUUAAAUAAAUCAAAAAUGAAAAAAAAAACAUAGGGUCAUAAGGAGUGUUGAAACUAAUAAAUGUUGGCCAGCCUAUCGUCUACACUAGAACAAAUGGAGAUAUUUGAAAAAAAAAAUAUCUUUGGCGGAUUAAGAAUUCCUAAAAAUAAGAGACAUAUAUAGGACUAUAAAGAAAGCUAAUCUAUUAUUAAUGUCAUCGAUAUAUAUGUACCUAUUUUUGCCAAUACUCAUUGAACAUAUACAUGAUCCCAUGCAUAUAUAGUUUGUUGCAUCAACCCACUUCUUUAGGACCUUGUCGGUGAAUACUUUACCAUCCGAAUUGUUGUAUUAAAUCAUGCAUCCAUAUCCUUGGUAUGAGACAUUAAGAGAUAUUUAUUGUAAAGAACUCUUGUUCCAUUUUCAACAAAGAAACCAUAGGUGUCUAGAAUUUUUGUAUCAAAAUUUUUACAAUCCCCCUUGGUCAAACAAGCAACAUCAAGAAAUUUCAAUAUAUCCUUUUACCUAUAACUUAGCCCAUUGUAACUUAUUUUAAGUACACCUAAAAUUCUCUUGCUUGCUAAUGGACAUUUCCAUUGAAGAUAUGUGUUGCUAAAUAACAAGAACCCAAAACUUUAAUAGCUAAAGGAAGACCUUUACAAUCAUAUUAUCACACAAUUUAAAAGGGUUAAGAAAUUAUAAUCAUAACAUGCUUUUUCAACGGCAUAUCAGCUCAAGAGGACAUGAGCAUCAUCCUUACUCAAUGCCACUAGCUCAAAUAAUUCAACCAUGCAUAAUAAACAAAUGUUUAUGUCUCAUUGUUAUAAUGAUUUUACUUCUUUUACCAAACCAAUCAUGUCUUCCAACUAAAGGUUCUCAUUGUUUUAGAUCAUCCACAUAAUCCAAAACGGUAAAAACCCAUUUACAAUGAAGCAUGUGGUGACCCACCCUCGUAGGUGUCAUCCAAGCAAAAUAGUGUCUCCUCUUUACUCUAAAAACUUAGUGGAGAUACUAUCCUACAAAGAGAAAUUUAACUCAUAAUUGGAUAUAAUGUGUUAGAGAAGUAUAAUGAAGUAUUUUUAAGGAAACAACAUAUUCAUAACCAUUUUUAAGAUACAAAAUUUUGAGUGCAUAAGAGCCAACCUUAGCAUCCAAUUUUCAAAUCCUGAACAUAUGUAAGGAAAUGCCUACAUGGCAACAGUCUACACUAAAAAGAGGAAAAAAGAAAAGGGCAACAAUGGAUACAUGUCUUGCUGGCCACUUGUUGAACUUGCUCAAUAUGUGAUUCUACUAGAUCCUCGUCUGAAAAAAUUAGGGAAUUUCAUCAUCCAAGUAACACUCAACGUAAAUAAUAUAUAGUAUAACAAUUAGAUAAACAUACAACGUUAGACAACCCGAUGUAUAAUCAAUUAAACGCAUGUAUCAUAUAUGCAUCCAACUUUCAAUACAUUCAACUUUCAAUACAUUCCAAGGCUAUGGUGCCACUCAACUUUCAAUACAUUCCAAGGUUAUGCAAAUAUAACGACUAGCACCGUGGCCCUUCAUCCAUCGACAUAUAUCAUAUAUGCAUCCACAAAUGACAUAUAUCUUACAUAACAUGGCAUCAUAUGGACACAGUGCCCCUACAUCUCCCGACACAUUUCUCAUACAAAUUGCUUUCCCCUUCAUGUCUUAGCAUAAAAGAUCACAAGGUUAAUCAACUACGAUGUGCCCCUUUAUCUCUAUGACACAAUAAUGGUCCAAGGUACAUAACAAUCACAAAAAUAAUAAUAAUGUAAAGCACAAUAAUAAUACAAAUGAUAGUACAAAUGAUUUUUUAGUAAAUAGUAAAUACUAGCUAAGUUCCCAAGAAAGAUUGGAAGGAUCACAAUGGUCAUGCUUAAAAUCCAAGUUCCUUAGAACUUUCCUAAGUUGUACACAUCCAUUCAUGAUCACCAAACCAUCUUAACAAUUAACAAACAUAUAUAUCAAGGAUACAUGAAGCACAUAACCAUCAUUAAUAUAGCACAUAGACCAACACAUUUUUAAAUCAUAUGUCAUGAUAUUUGUGUUAAAACACUCCUCGAUCAUAGAUGCAUGCUCUCUCAACAUUUAAGGAUAGUAGAUCUUCAUAAUGAAAGUAAUAACAAGAAAAAAAACUGUAGAUAUAAGGUUUUAAAUAUUUUACCUUUGAUCUGGAUGUUCUCAUAUCAAUUACAGUUGAAGAAAAUGAUGAUGCAUAUCUUGAAAAGCUCACGAUCUUUCACUCAAUAGCCCUUUCUUAGAUCUUAGCGUUUGAGAAUGGUGGAAUCCUAACUUGGGGGUGGAAACUAGGGCUGGAAAACAAAAUGAUUAGAUUUCAAGCCUUAAUCCCUAAGGUGUUUUAUAUAGACUUCCUUAUAAGCUUAAGUGACUUUAGUUUAUCUUAGGUUUGGGUCAUUUAACCCUAACCCAUUGGAUCCUAAUUAAUUGAUCAAUCCAAAAAGACCUUUCGCAAGCUCUUGUACAAUCUUGUGUUUUUUCCAAAAUGCCAUUAAGCACACUUAAGAAUAAAGAAUACAUAUAUCCCUUAAAAACUAUACCACCAAGGAAUAUGAGCUCCAAUGGAGACCAUUAGGACCAUAAGAAAAUACUGACUCCCUUAGAAUCUAAUUCUAAAGUUGACUCAAUAUUCCACAAUGGAGAUGUAACUACACUACACUAUUUUAUGAUAUUAUAAUGAGAUAUAAAGCUCGAGUUUGUGACCUACUAUCCACUAUAUGCAAACUCCCUAUGAACUAAUGUAUAUAAUCUAAUAAUGUAGAUGCUACUAAACUCUAAAUGUUACCUCUACCAUCCUUUAGUCUUAAAUCUUCCUAUUAUGUAAUCAACUAACAUAUUCUAACUUUCUAAGAGAAUAUGUCAAAUUCCACUUAGGGAAUUAUUACUACAUAUUUCAUGAUUAUAUGUCUUUAGGAUUACCUAAGGGGAUGCAUUAUUUUAAUCCCAUGAAAUAUCAUGAUGUUUAUCUUGUUAAUAGCUAUUUCCACCUAUCUUAAUCAACAUUGACUCAAUCCCUAGGAAAUAUACAACCACCAUAGGGUCUCACCCAUAGGUCAAAGUCAUUGACAUCAACACAAGUUCAAUAUUCUCUCAAGGUUGAGAUCUCAUGCAAUAUAGUAGCUUGGUGAAUUCAUGACUACCUGAUAGAAUGUCAUGAUUCAUCGUAGGUAGAAAAUUGAGAAUGGAAGAAAAGUUAGAAAAUUGAGGGCUUGUUUGGAAACUAUUUUCAAGAAUAUUUAUAGACUUCGGAAAGAAAGAAGGAUGGGAUUGCCUUUCGACUUUCUUGGAACUUCCAAGAAUAAGAAUUUUUUUUUGUCUGAAAACUGACCUUCAUAUUAUGAGGUUUAUUUGUAGAGAUAAUAAAAAAGAAAAAAAAAAAAAGAAAAUGAAACUAAAAAUGGAAAUACAAUUUUUAGUAUUUUUAUUUUUAAAUUAAAAAUGAUUUUUCUAAUGUCAAACUUGAUAGUAAAAAUUACAAUAAUAAAAGUAUUAAAAAAAAUAUUCUCCAAUAAGUUUUAAAAUGAAAGGUCAAAGAGUCCAGGAAUACAUAAAUAAAUUUUUUAUUUUCUAAAAUAAAAUUACAAUUAUCAAAUCUAUUUUAAAAAGAGUUAAUAUAUUUUAGUUUUUAAAAAGAAUAUAUAUAUAUAUAUAUAUAUAUACACACACUUCACCUCAUCAUUGACACAAUAGCCAUGCAAUGCGCCUUUAAGAAGUAUGAGCAUAUGGUCCAGGAUGGGAGCGGGUCAGUUUCAAAAUAUUCUAGGAAUGGAUGGAAGAGUUGUCUUUUUUCCAAUUUUUGAUUGAUUUUUAUUUUGUUUUUUGGUGAUUGAUGUAGGAUAAUGGAAUCCAUUAUACAUUUUUAAGUUUUUUUUUUUUUUUUGUUAAUGUAGGAUAAGAGAAUCAAUGAACCAUUCUAAUUCUUAUCACUAAUGAAAUAGAAGAGAAGAAUUGUCUUUUUUCCAAUCUUACAGGAUUUUUAUUCUUUUUCUCUUGUAAAUAAUGUACUACAAUUGAAUCAAUUGCCUAUUUAUGUGCUUUUUUUUUAAUAAUUAAUGUGGAAAAAUGGAAUUAAUUCUCGGAAGAUAAUUGAUGUAAGAGGUAGAAUUAAUUAUGAGGAAGAAAGAAUAUGGGUAAAAACACGAUACAAUAAGGAAGAAAUAGGGUUGUAACUCUUGGGUGGAUUGGAAAGGUUAAAAGGCUACUAUGCCUAACUUGAUAUCAAAAUGCCUAACUUAUGCCAAACCUAACCUAAGGUUGGGUAAUUAAUUACCAGCCCAUGUCAAAUUUAUGCACAAUUCAAGUUCUUACACGUUAAAAUGGGUUCUUGUAGGUUAUUAAGUAGAAUAAUUAUUUUAAAAUGUAUAUCGAAUAAACCAUUAGAGGUUAUAGUACACUACCUCUUAAUUCAAGGGAUGACUAGUCUUGGCCAUUGGGAUGAGUUUCUCAUUAUGAAUGCACUACUGUGUAUGGUUACACAUUAGAAAGAACCUAUGGUGAAUUACGAUGUAAGGUUAUUGAGUAGUCAUAACUUCACCAAACUACUACGUUGUAUUAUCUCUUAACCUUGAUAAAAUAUUGAAUUUGUUUCAAAGUUAACAAUGACUUUGAUUUACGAGUGGGAUCCUAAAGUGAUCACAUAUUCCUUAUAGAUCAGGUAACAAUUAAUGAAAGUUGAUAGAAAUAGAUAUUCUCAAUAGAGAUACCAUGAUAUCUUAUAGAAUUGAGAUAGAGUGUCCUCUUGAGUAAUCCUAAGGAGAUGUGUUCAUGUAAACUAUGGUCAUAAUAGUUAUUUAACUAGAACUUAACAUAAACUCUUUGUAAGGUAAGAUAUGUCAAUUUAUCACAUAAUAUAAGGAUCUCCAACUUAAGGAUAGUAGAGUUAGUCUUAAAAGGUUGAUAAUUUUCUCUUUGUUAGACUAUAGACACUAGUUCAUAGGGAGAUUGAGUGCAAUGGAUAGCAAGUCACAGACUUAAGCACUUUUUGUCUCAUUAUCAUUUACAUAGGGUACUAGAGUGCAAUUGAUUCUCUAUAGUGGGAUGUUGAAUCAACUUCAAAAUAGGAUUAUGAAGGAGAAAGUGCUAUCUUAUAGGUCCUAGUGGUCCCCACUCAAGCUUUGAUAUCAAUUGUUGACAUUUUAGAUUUAAAUAACAGAAAUAAUGUCAAUUUUUUUUAAAAAAAUUGAUUUUUAGGGUUAAAAUACUGAUUUUUAGGUUUGAAUGUUCUCAAGCCUUAAAUUCAAGUGUUGAAGAAUUAAAUCAAUGUUCUCGAAAGUCUCGUAGACCCAUGAUUUUCAACCCAAUGAUUCAACUAUAUUCCUUAGCACACAAAUAAUAGGUAGUUCAAGAGGGUAGAGGGUAAGAUUCUUUUCUCUUUGGAUAGUGAAAGACAAAAGUGAUGGCUAACUUAUGCAUUUUCAAAUUAUUUUAUCUUUACAUGAAAAGUUAAAAUAAAUUAAAUGAGUUUGAAGAAGUAUUUUAUGAUUUUAAAUCUAUUUUUUAUUUUUCUUUUAUUUUUCUCUCUAUUUUUUUUUCUCAUAUAUUCUCUCUAAAUUUUUGGGAAACCAAACAUAAUCCAAGAAAAAGAAGGAAAAACAAAAGUAAUAGCACUUACUGAUUAUGAAGGUGCCAUCCAGAUAGAUUGAUUGCUUCUUUCAAGGCUGCUCUCCACUUCUCUAUCUUCUCUCUAUUCUCCUUGCUCACAUCUUUUUCAUACUCCAUAAAUGCUUUCCCAUAACUCCCCGUCUGGUUUCUCACUUCGGUUGGAUCCACAUGGUAGAAAACUUGGAGAGCCAUUCGCCUCAUUGUUGCCACACUCAAUAAUCUUUAUAACUUCAUCCGAACACCAUCUAGAAUCAGCAUAAUUUUCGAGAAAAUAACAAUGGAAAUCCUUGACUGCUCGAUAGCUUUCAAGAGUCCUGGUGCUCCUCUAUCAAGUUCUUCAUCAUCUCUAAAGGUGUGAAUUCCAUUUGCAACCAAAGCUGUGUAUAGAUGAUCCAUAAAAUUUUUGCGGGUGUCUUUCCCUCUGAAACUCAAGAAAACAUCAUGACUCCAGGGAGGGAUAGAAGAAGAGGGUGCUUGAGUGCUGCUUGAAGCCAUAAAUGAUAACUGCUGAAACUACCAUGGACUGGAGAUUUCUGCACUGAUUCUACAGGGUAUGAGACUUAGUAUUUAAGUUGUUUCAUUAGGGAGAAAAUAUGGGAGGGUGAAGUAAGCAAGAAAUGCAGCACCUCAAAGUCAACAAAUUAGCUUUAUCUUGGAGAUCAAUCCCAGGAAGGGGGUACCUACCAGUCAACAACCUUUAUUUGUUUGUUUGUUUUUGUCUUUUUUUUUUUUUAUAAAAAAAAUGGAUAUCAAUCCCAAAGAUUGUUGUCCUUUGGGAUAAGAAUGGGAGAAAAAAAUUCUUAUUCAUUGGGAUAAGAAUAGAAGACGAAAAUUCCUAUUCUUCUCUUCCUUUCCACAUCUUUUUCAGUAACUAAGAUAUGAGAUUAAUAAAUAAUUAAAUCUAGAGGUUAAAGAAGUUUAAUUAAUCAGUUUCUCUUUACAUAUUUAACAAAUUAUUAAAAUGACACUUUAAUAACAUUUUUAUGAAUUGUUAAUAUAUGAAGAAUAGUAGUUAAUUAUUUAUAUACAUUUUGGUUAUGUUUGGUUCUGAACAAUACUAGAAAAAGAAAAAAUAUUAAUUAAGGAAAAUAAUUUUUUUUCUAUUUGGUUAUCCCAUGUAAAAUACGAGAAAAAUAUUAAAUAUAGUUAAAAUUAAUUUUAAAACUUAUAUAUUUUCAAAUCUAGCUUUAUAUUCAAGAGUUAAAAUAAUAAAAAUAAUUUAUUAACUUUAAAUUUAUUUUUUAUUUUUCUUAAAUUUUUUCUCUCUACUUUCUUUCUUUUAUAUUUUUCUUAAAUUUUUUGAUAACCAAAUACAACUUGUAAGUAUUAGGGUUGCAACUUGGGCGGAUUGGUUGGGAUUGAUGACUAACCAAAUCCAACCUGAAUUAAGAAACAAUCAACCUAAACUCAUUUUUCUAAACUCGAGUUAAAUUCGGGUUAAUCGAAUUAGACUUCAACUGAUCAGGUUACAUUUGACUUUGUCGGGUUUAUUGGAUUGUAUAAUUCAAAAUUUUAAAUUUUUUAAAAUAUAAUUAUACUAAAAUUUAAAUAAUAAAUAACACAAAAGUUGAAGAUAAUAAUAAAAAAAAUGAAAAUAAACUUCUAUAUCUUAAAAAAAAAAAGUAUAAGAUAUAAAAGUAAAAUAAACUUAUUUGUCUUUUUUGAAAAAAUAAAAAAUAUAUAAUAUAAUUAUAAUUUGAUAUUUUUAAAAAUCUAAAAAGAAAAUGAAUAUUAUCACAUAAAAUAAUAAACAUUAUAAAUACUAUACAAAUAUUAAAUCGCAUUUUGUUUAGACUAAGGUUAUUCAAACAUUGACCCAAGUCUAAUCCAAAUUAAGUUCAGGUUUGAGAAAACUUCACCCAAAUACAACCCGAUUAAUAAAAUUGUUUACCCAAGCCCAUCCAAACAUUGGGUUGGGUUCGAUUAGAUUGGGCCAAUCUGUCCAAGUUACACCCUGGUAAGUACAAAAAAAUAAAAAUAAAUAAAAGAUAAAAUACAUGGUAUAAGGUAUGAUUACAAUUUCCCUUUUAAUAUAUCCCAUGUUUGUGAGAUUAGUAUUUUUUUUUUCUUAUUACUUAAUGGAUGGAGCCGGAGAGUGGACUUUUGGAUAAUGAUCAAGAUUGGAUUUGAUAGUAUUUAUGUGGGUGAUGGGGUGGUUAUGAGGUGAUUUUCAUCCCUUAAUAAAGUUGUGACAGAAAAUAUGGUAGGUGGUUAUAAUUCAUUUUAUAAUAAGUUCCGUAGAGCAGCGCUUCUAGUCCAAUAAUCUUCUCCGAAGGCGUGUCUUCCACCUAGUGAAGAUGACAGGAGAUGCCUUGCUCCACCACCUCUAAUCCAAGGACAGUGAAAAGUGAAGAGUGGCUUCAUUCUUUUAUCCUUCCAGUGGACACUCAAAUCAACUUUUUCUAAGCUAUAGAAAUCGGGUUAGAACUUGGAAUAGAAAUGCAUGAAAACUUCACAAAUAUAUAAAGAAUUUAAGCUUCAAAUACAGAUCAUUAACCUCAAUUUUCAAGGCCACCAAACAGCCCCAAAGUAGAGUUCAUGAGAUUGAAACUUUCAAUAACAAGUUGUAACGAAUUUUCCAUCAUUUUUUAUAUUAAAUGUCGAAAUUUAGAAAUCCAUACUUUCCCCUUUUCCCUUAUCUUUGCCUACACUUUCCUUUUUGUCAUUCAUUUUUGGGUUAUCAGUAGGUGGAAAUUUAAAAAUUUUUAAUAAUCAUUUAAUGACGACGUCUUUACCUCACUUUCCUCUAUUUGUUGGGCAACCAAACAAACCAAACUUGGAGUUGACAGUUGGGGUUAUACCUUUCAAAGGCCUUUGUUUUGGAAAAAUAUAAUAAAAAUAUUAAAAAGAUCAUCUCCUUCUUCCUUUAAAUUUUCAUAUUUUUCAAAGCAAUUAGAUGGAGGAUAGGUUCUUCUUAGUCUUCCUAUGAAAGCACCUAUAAAUGAGAUAUUAUUGUGAGUCAACAACUGGGAUUAUAUCUUGAAGCAAUUACUGUUUAUUGUUACAUAGUGAUCACGUGCUUCACCAAACUAGGUCAAUUCUUCUUAGUGAACUUGCCAAACACUUGAAUGUUCUCAAACCUUAAAUUCAAGUGUUGAAGAAUUAAAUCAAUGUUCUCGAAAGUCUCGUAGACCCAUGAUCUUCAACCCAAUGAUUCAACUUUAUUCCUUAGCCACAAACAAUAGGUAGUUCAAGAGGGUAGAGGGUAAGAUUCUUUUCUCUUUGGAUAGUGAAAGACAAAAGUGAUGGAUAACUUAUGCAUUUUCAAAUUAUUUUAUCUUUACAUGAAAAGUUAAAAUAAAUUAAAUGAGUUUGAAGAAGUAUUUUAUGAUUUUAAAUUUAUGUUUUAUUUUCCUUUUAUUUUUCUCUCUAUUUUUUUGUUCUCAUAUAUUCUCUCUAAAUUUUUGGGAAACCAAACAUAAUCCAAGAAAAAGAAGGAAAAACAAAAGUAAUAGCACUUACUGAUCAUGAAGGUGCCAUCCAGAUAGAUUGAUUGCUUCUUUCAAGGCUGCUCUCCACCUCUCUACCUUCUCUCUAUUCUCCUUGCUCACAUCUUUUUCGUACUCCAUAAAUGCUUUCCCAUAACUCCCUGUCUGGUUUCUCACUUCGGUUGGAUCCACAUGGUAGAAAACUUGGAGAGCCAUUCACCUAAUUGUUGCCACACACUCAAUAAUCUUUAUAACUUCAUCCGAACACCAUCUAGAAUCAGCAUAAUUUUCCGAGAAAAUAACAAUGGAAAUCCUUGACUGCUCGAUAGCUUUCAAGAGUCCUGGUGCUCCUCUAUCAAGUUCUUCAUCAUCUCUAAAGGUGUGAAUUCCAUUUGCAACCAAAGCUAUGUAUAGAUGAUCCAUAAAAUUUUUGCGGGUGUCUUUCCCUCUGAAACUCAAGAAAACAUCAUGACUCCAAGGAGGGACAGAAGAAGAGGGUGCUUGAGUGCUGCUUGAAGCCAUAAAUGAUAACUGCUGAAACUACCAUGGACUGGAGAUUUCUGCACUGAUUCUACAGGGUAUGAGACUUAGUAUUUAAGUUGUUUCAUUAGGGAGAAAAUAUGGGAGGGUGAAGUAAGCAAGAAAUGCAGCACCUCAAAGUCAACAAAUUAGCUUUAUCUUGGAGAUCAAUCCCAGGAAGGGGGUACCUACCAGUCAACAACCUUUAUUUGUUUGUUUGUUUUUGUCUUUUUUUUUUUUAUAAAAAAAAUGGAUAUCAAUCCCAAAGAUUGUUGUCCUUUGGGAUAAGAAUGGGAGAAAAAAAUUCUUAUUCAUUGGGAUAAGAAUAGAAGACGAAAAUUCCUAUUCUUCUCUUCCUUUCCACAUCUUUUUCAGUAACUAAGAUAUGAGAUUAAUAAAUAAUUAAAUCUAGAGGUUAAAGAAGUUUAAUUAAUCAGUUUCUCUUUACAUAUUUAACAAAUUAUUAAAAUGACACUUUAAUAACAUUUUUAUGAAUUGUUAAUAUAUGAAGAAUAGUAGUUAAUUAUUUAUAUAUAUUUUGGUUAUGUUUGGUUCUGAACAAUACUAGAAAAAGAAAAAAUAUUAAUUAAGGAAAAUAAUUUUUUUUCUAUUUGGUUAUCCCAUGUAAAAUACGAGAAAAAUAUUAAAUAUAGUUAAAAUUAAUUUUAAAACUUAUAUAUUUUCAAAUCUAGCUUUAUAUUCAAGAGUUAAAAUAAUAAAAAUAAUUUAUUAACUUUAAAUUUAUUUUUUAUUUUUCUUAAAUUUUUUCUCUCUACUUUCUUUCUUUUAUAUUUUUCUUAAAUUUUUUGAUAACCAAAUACAACUUGUAAGUAUUAGGGUUGCAACUUGGGCGGAUUGGUUGGGAUUGAUGACUAACCAAAUCCAACUUGAAUUAAGAAACAAUCAACCCAAACUCAUUUUUCUAAACUCGAGUUAAAUUCGGGUUAAUCGAAUUAGACUUCAACUGAUCAGGUUACAUUUGACUUUGUCGGGUUUAUUGGAUUGUAUAAUUCAAAAUUUUAAAUUUUUUAAAAUAUAAUUAUACUAAAAUUUAAAUAAUAAAUAACACAAAAGUUGAAGAUAAUAAUAAAAAAAAUGAAAAUAAACUUCUAUAUCUUAAAAAAAAAAAAGUAUAAGAUAUAAAAGUAAAAUAAAUUUAUUUGUCUUUUUUGAAAAAAUAAAAAAUAUAUAAUAUAAUUAUAAUUUGAUAUUUUUAAAAAUCUAAAAAGAAAAUAAAUAUUAUCAUAUAAAAUAAUAAACAUUAUAAAUACUAUACAAAUAUUAAAUCGCAUUUUGUUUAGACUAAGGUUAUUUAAACAUUGACCAACGUCUAAUCCAAAUUAAGUUCAGGUUUGAGAAAACUUCACCCAAAUACAACCCGAUUAAUAAAAUUGUUUACCCAAGCCCAUCCAAACAUUGGGUUGGGUUCGAUUAGAUUGGGCCAAUCUAUCCAAGUUACACCCUGGUAAGUACAAAAAAAUAAAAAUAAAUAAAAGAUAAAAUACAUGGUAUAAGGUAUGAUUACAAUUUCCCUUUUAAUAUAUCCCAUGUUUGUGAGAUUAGUAUUUUUUUUUUUUCUUAUUACUUAAUGGAGGGAGCCGGAGAGUGGACUUUUGGAUAAUGAUCAAGAUUGGAUUUGAUAGUAUUUAUGUGGGUGAUGGGGUGGUUAUGAGGUGAUUUUCAUCCCUUAAUAAAGUUGUGACAGAAAAUAUGGUAGGUGGUUAUAAUUCAUUUUAUAAUAAGUUCCGUAGAGCAGCGCUUCUAGUCCAAUAAUCUUCUCCGAAGGCGUGUCUUCCACCUAGUGAAGAUGACAGGAGAUGCCUUGCUCCACCACCUCUAAUCCAAGGACAGUGAAAAGUGAAGAGUGGCUUCAUUCUUUUAUCCUUCCAGUGGACACUCAAAUCAACUUUUUCUAAGCUAUAGAAAUCGGGUUAGAAAUUGGAAUAGAAAUGCAUGAAAACUUCACAAAUAUAUAAAGAAUUUAAGCUUCAAAUACAGAUCAUUAACCUCAAUUUUCAAGGCCACCAAACAGCCCCAAAGUAGAGUUCAUGAGAUUGAAACUUUCAAUAACAAGUUGUAACGAAUUUUCCAUCAUUUUUUAUAUUAAAUGUCGAAAUUUAGAAAUCCAUACUUUCCCCUUUUCCCAUAUCUUUGCCUACACUUUCCUUUUUGUCAUUCAUUUUUGGGUUAUCAGUAGGUGGAAAUUUAAAAUUUUUUAAUAAUCAUUUAAUGACGACGUCUUUACCUCACUUUCCUCUAUUUGUUGGGCAACCAAACAAACCAAACUUGGAGUUGACAGUUGGGGUUAUACCUUUCAAAGGCCUUUGGUUUGGAAAAAUAUAAUAAAAAUAUUAAAAAGAUCAUCUCCUUCUUCCUUUAAAUUUUCAUAUUUUUCAAAGCAAUUAGAUGGAGGAUAGGUUCUUCUUAGUCUUCCUAUGAAAGCACCUAUAAAUGAGAUAUUAUUGUGAGUCAACAACUGGGAUUAUAUCUUGAAGCAAUUACNNNNNNNNNNNNNNNNNNNNNNNNNNNNNNNNNNNNNNNNNNNNNNNNNNNNNNNNNNNNNNNNNNNNNNNNNNNNNNNNNNNNNNNNNNNNNNNNNNNNCAUGAAGGUGCCAUCCAGAUAGAUAGAUUGCAUCUUUCAAGGCUGCUCUCCACCUCUCUACCUUCUCUCUAUUCUCCUUGCUCACAUCUUUUUCGUACUCCAUAAAUGCUUUCCCAUAACUCCCUGUCUGGUUUCUCACUUCGGUUGGAUCCACAUGGUAGAAAACUUGGAGAGCCAUUCACCUAAUUGUUGCCACACACUCAAUAAUCUUUAUAACUUCAUCCGAACACCAUCUAGAAUCAGCAUAAUUUUCCGAGAAAAUAACAAUGGAAAUCCUUGACUGCUCGAUAGCUUUCAAGAGUCCUGGUGCUCCUCUAUCAAGUUCUUCAUCAUCUCUAAAGGUGUGAAUUCCAUUUGCAACCAAAGCUAUGUAUAGAUGAUCCAUAAAAUUUUUGCGGGUGUCUUUCCCUCUGAAACUCAAGAAAACAUCAUGACUCCAAGGAGGGAUAGAAGAAGAGGGUGCUUGAGUGCUGCUUGAAGCCAUAAAUGAUAACUGCUGAAACUACCAUGGACUGGAGAUUUCUGCACUGAUUCUACAAGGUAUGAGACUUAGGUGGUGUUUGUUUUUUGGCUGAAUAGAAAAAGUCAAAAUAUUUGGCUUUUUCUAUUCAAUUAAAAGUAACUCAUUGACAUCAACCAAUAUAAUUAAAUUAAACUUAUUGAUAACAAGUUCACUUUAAUUAUGUUGGUUAAUAUUAACAAGGUGCUUUUAACUGAAUAAAAAAAGUAAAAUAUUUUGGCUUUUUUUAUUCAGCCAAAAAACAAACACUAGCUUAGUAUUUAAGUUGUUUUAUUAGGGAGAAAAUAUGGGAGGGUGAAGUAAGCAAGAAAUGCAACACCUCAAAGUCAACAAAUUAGCUUUAUCUUGGAGAUCAAUCCUAGGAAGGGAGUACCUACCAGCCAACAACCUUUAUUUGUUUGUUUGUUUUUGUUUUGUUUCUUUUUUUUAAAAAAAAAUGGAUAUCAAUCCCAAAUAUUGUUAUCCUUUGGGAUAAAAAUGGGAGAAAAAAAUUCUUAUUCAUUGGGAUAAGAAUAGAAGAAGAAAAUUCCCAUUCUUCUCUUCCUUUCCACAUCUUUUUCAGUAACUAAGAUAUGAGAUUAAUAAAUAAUUAAAUCUAGAGGUUAAAGAAGUUUAAUUAAUCAGUUUCUCUUUACAUAUUUAACAAAUUAUUAAAAUGACACUUUAAUAACAUUUUUAUGAAUUGUUAAUAUAUGAAGAAUAGUAGUUAAUUAUUUAUAUACAUUUUAGUUAUGUUUGGUUAUGAAAAAUACUAGAAAAAGAAAAAAUAUUAAUUAAGGAAAAUGAUUUUUUUUCUAUUUGGUUAUCCCAUGUAAAAUACGGAAAAAAAUAAAAUAAAUAUAGUUAAAAAUAUUAAUUUAAAAACUUAUAUAUUUUCAAAUCUUUAUAUUCAAGAGUUAAAAUAAUAAAAAUAAUUUAUUAACUUUAAAUUUAUUUUUUAUUUUUCUUAAAUUUUUUCUCUCUACUUUUUUUCCUUUACAUUUUUCUUGAAUUUUUUGAUAACCAAAUACAACUUGUAAGUAUUAGGGUUGCAACUUGGGAGGGUUGGUUGGAUUGAUGACUAACCCAAACUCAAUCUGAAUUAAGAAACAAUCAACCCAACUCGACUUCUAACCCGGGGUACUGUCAAACUCAAUCUGAAUUAAGAAAGGGGUACUCAACCCAAUCUCAUUUUUCUAAAUUCGGGUUAAAUUCAGGUUGGUCAAAUUAGAUUUGGGUUGAUCAAGUUACACUUGACUUAGUCGGGUUGAUUGAGUUAUAUAAUUCAAAAAAUUUAAUUUUUUUUAUAUAUAUCUAUACUAAACUUUAAAUAAUAAAUAACACAAAAGUUCAAGAUAAUAAUAAAAAAAUGAAAAUAAACUUCUAUAUCUUUUUUUUUUUUAAAGUGUAAGAUAUAAAAGUAAAAUAAUAUAUAUAUAUAUAUAUAUAUAUAUAUAUAUAUAUAUAUAUAUAAUAUAAUUAUAAUUUGAUAUUUUUUAAAAUCUAAAAAUAAAUAAAUAUUAUCAUAUAAAAUAAUAAACUUUAUAAAUAUUAUACAAAUAUUAAAUCGCAUUUAGGUUAGGCUUAGGUUAUUCAAACAUUGACUCAAGCCUAAUCCAAAUUAAGCUCGUUGAGAAAACUUCACCCAAGCUCAAGCCGAGUAAUGAAAAUGUUUACCCAAGGUCGUCCAAACAUUGGGUUGAGUUCGGUUAGAUUGAGUCAACCUGUCCAAGUUACACCUUAGUAAGUAAAAAAAACUAAAAAAUAAAAGAUAAAAUACAUGGUAUGAGGUAUGAUUACAAUUUCCCUUUUAAUAUAUCCCAUGUUUGUGAGAUUAGUAAUUUUUUUUUCUUAUUACUUAAUGGAUGGAGCCGGAGAGUGGACUUAAUGAUCAAGACUGUAUUUGAUAGUAUUUAUGUGGGUGAUGGGGUGGUUAUGAGGUGAUUUUCAUCCCUUAAUAAAGUUGUGACAGAAAAUAUGGUAGGUGGUUAUAAUUCAUUUUAUAACAAGUUCUGUGGAGCAGCGCUUCUAAUCCAAUAAUCUUCUCCUAAGGCGUGUCUUCCACCUAGUGAAGAUGACAGGAGAUGCCUUGCUCCACCACCUCUAAUCCAAGGACAGUGAAAAGUGAAGAGUGGCUUCAUUCUUUUAUCCUUCCAGUGGACACUCAAAUCAACUUUUUCUAAGCUAUAGAAAUCGGGUUAGAACUUGGAAUAGAAAUGCAUGAAAACUUCACAAAUAUAUAAAGAAUUUAAGCUUCAAAUACAGAUCAUUAACACCUCAAUUUUCAAGGCCACCAAACAGCCCCAAAGUAGAGUUCAUGAGAUUGAAACUUUCAAUAACAAGUUGUAACGAAUUUUCCGUCAUUUUUUAUAUUAAAUGUCGAAAUUUAGAAAUCCAUACUUUCCCCUUUUCCUAUAUCUUUGCCUACACUUUCCUUUUUGUCAUUCAUUUUUGGGUUAUCAGUAGGUGGAAAUUUAAAAUUUUUUAAUAAUCAUUUAAUGACGACGUCUUUACCUCACUUUCCUCUAUUUGUUGGGCAACCAAACAAACCAAACUUGGAGUUGACAGUUGGGGUUAUACCUUUCUAAGGCCUUUGUUUUGGAAAAAUAUAAUAAAAAUAUUAAAAAGAUCAUCUCCUUCUUCCUUUAAAUUUUCAUAUUUUUCAAAGCAAUUAGAUGGAGGAUAGGUUCUUCUUAGUCUUCCUAUGAAAUCACCUAUAAAUGAGAUAUUAUUGUGAGUCAACAACUGGGAUUAUAUCUUGAAGCAAUUAUUGUUUAUUGUUACGUAGGAAGGUAAUAAUAGCUAAAAUACGGCAUGUGAUCACGUGCUUCACCAAACUAGGUCAAUUCUUCUUAACUUUAUUUCAAAUAUUCUUAUACUUUUAUAUUUUUCAAGUUUCAAUAAAAACUUCAAAGAAAAGAAUAAAGAGGGCAUAUAAGAACAUUUCUGGUUUGGAAAGCUAAAGAAAAUAAUAGAAUCUAAUACACAUGUGCAUAUUUAUAAUCAAAAUUUCAAAGAUUAAGGAAAAAAAUAAUUAGAAAAAUCAAUAAAGCUUUUAAAUGAUAUACCUCAAUCUUGCAUAAUUGGACAACUUCUUUCAUAAUAACUAUUAACCCCAUUAUUAUUAAUUCUCCCUUUCUUCUAUUUUACAUUCAAAACCUAAAAUUUUUCUUACCCUUUCUUUAUGCUUAAACACUCCAUAUUUAAGACAAACUACAAAAAAGUAUUGGCCUCUAUACCACAAAUUUAUACUUAUCUACUAUAGUGCAAUAGGCUACGUAGUUAAGUUAGUAAUUUUGUUCCAUUUGGAUUACAACUUUUCUAGUGUCACAUGUCUUACUCUUCAUUAAAAACUCGAGGUUGUUAUUGAUCAUCCAAGAUAAUAUAAGUAAGCAUAAAGAGCCCUGUGAAAAGGCUAAUUAGAUUUAAUUAAGGCAUGAAGUGAACAAUAUAAUAAGUUUUAAAAUUGAGUAUAAAUAUUUUUAAAAAUGAUUUUAAAAAUCCUCAAGUGCUCAAACAUAAAUCACAACGCUCAAACGUUGAUCACAAUGCUUAAGCACUCCUAAAGGCACUCAAACGCUCAUUGCAAAACUCCAACUCUGCCCUAUAUUUUUCAUUUAUUUUAUUUUUGGAAAAUUCUAGAUUUUGUCCACUAGGUUUUUAGCGUAUGAAGAACAUGCUGAAAAGGUUUCUGUUCUUUGAUACAAAUUUUGAGAAAACCCUAUUAACCUUCCCUACAACUCAAACUCUCAAGAAGUUCAUCUUCCCAUUCUCUUAGGUUGAAAGAGAGUUCUAUAUCUCCUUAGGCAUUGAGGUAGAGUCCAUUGGGAUCAUGCGUGGUGUUGCAUUGUGGAUGCAAGAAUCACUAUAGGUACUACGAAGUAAGACUUAAAGAUAGCAUCCACAAAGUAAAACUAUGUAUUAUUCUUUUGUGGAAAUCUGUGAAUGGUGAUUUGUAAGAUAUUGUGGGAAAGAUUGAAGCCCAAAUUGUGACAAAUAUUGUGGUGAUUUAUGUGAUUUUUUUUCCAUAUUUGUGUUUUUUCCAUUUUAUUUGUUCCUUGUAUAUAUGUUAAAUAAGGACCCGAUUAUGUAAAUAUACACAAUUUUGAAUGAAUUUUUGAGUGAUUCUCAGUUUCUUCAAAUUCUCAAUUUCUUCAUGGUAUCAGAGCAGUGUUUGCGCUAAAACCCUAAUCAAUCCAAGGCUGCCCAAAGAGGAGACAACCAUGAGUCCAGUCAAUCGGCAACCCAUGAAAAAGAGUCGGAGAUACACUCCUCAAUGGGACCGGUUGGUGGAUUCGACAACUCCCCACUCCAUCUUACCGUUGAAAAAUUGAACGAUAAGAAUUACAGAGAGUGGGCGCAAGCAAUCAAGCUUGUUAUUGACGGAAAGGGAAAGUUAGGGUUUCUUAUUGGCGAGACUCGAUGACCACCUCUGAUCGAUGUAGUAGCAUCCCAAAAAUGAUGGUCCGAAAACUCCUUCAUCACCUUAUGCUUGAUUAACUCCAUGAAGCCAGCCAUUGGAAAAACUUAUAUGUUCCUCCCAACGGCAAAGGAUGUGUUGGAUGCAAUACGAGAAACAUAUUUCGAUGCCGAGAAUGCUUCCCAAAUCUUUGAACUCAAGACAUGGUUUUGGUAGAUGAAGCAAGGAGAUCAGGAAGUCACUGAAUACUACACCGAGAUGCUGGGUUUUUGGCAAGAUCUCGAUCUCAACUAUGAAGAGGAGUGGGAGUGCACAGGUGACAGUGUGCGCUUCAAGAAGAAAAUGGAGAACGAGAGGGUCUUUGAUUUCAUAGUGGGGCUGAAUCGCGGGCUUCACGACUUUAGGAGCAAGGUUCUCAGUCGUCGGUCGUUGCCCUCCAUUUGAGAGGUCUUCUCUGAGGUGCGACGAGAGAAAAGUAGAAGGAAAGUGAUGUUGGAGGAACAUCUCUCAUCUGGGCUUGAGGCUUCAGCCCUUGUAACCCAUGGGCCUCAUGUUGGAUCUAGUAGGCCUCAAUCUGGAUUAGACCCAAGACAGUACAAAAGGACUUAUUGUGAGCAUUGUAAAAAAUUGGGCCACACUAAAGAAACUUGUUGGACUUUACAUGGCAAGCCCGCGUAUUGGAAGCCGAGACAACCCAAUAAAGCCCAUAGUCAUCAGGCCUCCAUCGAAACCCAGGUAGACAAAACACCCACAAAAAUUCGUCAAUUAACUUCUAGUGUGGGGUUUAAUUUCGACCAGCUUGUGAAAUUAUAUGAGUUUUUUUUCUAAUUUUCAAGCCUCUAGUCAAUCUUUUAUUACUCUGUCCUCUGGUUUUUUGGCCCAAAAAGGUACCUUUCUGACAACACUUAACACCAUAUCUCAUAGUACUCCCUGGAUUAUUGACUUUGGUGCAUCUGAUCAUAUGACGGAUGGUCAUAAUUUAUUUUCCACAUACUCUCCCUGUGCCGGUAAUUUAAAAGUAAAAAUUGCAGAUGGUACUUUAUCCCCAGUUGCUAGCAAAGGGAGUAUUCGUAUUUCUGAGUCUAUUACUCUCAACCCUACCCUACAUGUACCUAAUUUAUCUUGCAAUUUGUUGUCUAUUAGCCAGUUAACAAAAAAGUCUAAUUGUUUAGCUAAAUUCCUACCAUCUCAUUGUGUUUUUCAGGACUUAUUAUCAGGGAAAACGAUUGGUAAUGCUAAAGAAUGUGAUGGUCUAUAUUACUUCAAUGAAACUGAUGUGUGUGGACAGUGUUCUCCUACUGUUUAUAAUUCUGCAUCUCGUCAUAAGGAUAGUGAACUUUUUUUAUGGCACAAAAGGAUGGGUCAUCCUAGUUUUUAGUACUUAAAACAUUUAUUUCCUUCACUAUGUUCAAAUAAAUCUUCAUGGGAUUUUCAGUGUGAAGUGUGUGAACUUGACAAACACCAGCGAGCUUUUUCUUCCCAAAUCUAAGUAAAGACCAUCCAUACCAUUUACUCAAAUUCAUAGUGAUCUAUGGGGACCCUCACAUACCCCUAAUAGGACCCAUAAAAAAUGGUUUAUUACUUUUAUUGAUAAUCACACUCGCUUGUGUUGGGUAUUUUUGUUGACUGAUAAAACUGAGGUUCGAUCAGUCUUCAUGAACUCUCACUCUAUGAUACAAACUCAGUUUCACACCAAAAUUCAAAUUCUUCGUACUAAUAAUGGUACUGAGUAUUUCAAUCACUCCUUGAGCACUUAUCUACAAGAAAAUGGUAUUAUACAUUAAAGUUCUUGCAUUAACACCCCUUAGCCAAAUGGGGUUGCAGAACGAAAAAAAUAUACAUAUUCUUGAAGUUGCUUGUGCUUUGCUGUUUAUCUCUCACAUGUCCUCACAAUUUUAGGGUGACUCCAUUUUGACAACCACAUACCUUAUUAACCAAAUGCCUAGUCAAGUCCUAUCUUUUGUCACACCCCUCUAGAAAUUCCAAGAGUUUUUUCCUCAUUCUAGACUCGAUGCACAUCUUCCACCUCGUGUUUUUGGGUCCAUUGUGUUUGUCCACACUCACAGACCUAAGUGGAACAAAUUUGAUCCCAGAGCGCUUAAAUGUGUCUUUCUUGUCUCCUCUUCCACACAAAAGGGCUACAAAUGCUAUGACCCAAUUUCACAAAAGCUAUAUGUUAGCUUAGAUGUCACAUUCUUUGAACAUACUCCCUACUACUCGCUUCAGGGGAAGUCCAUGAGUGAAACUAGACCACCCUUAACCUUAGACUGCCUCGAUGUUGUUGUGUUUUAAUCCACUCCGUGCCUUAUAUCUACAUCUUCACCUAAUACAGAAGAAUACUUAAACUCAGGGGGAGAUACGGAAUUAUAGAUAAAUAAGGAAACACUUGUCUACUCAAAGAGGUCAAAAUCAAAGUCCAAUGAAGUCCAAUGAGACACUCAUCUCCGAAUCAUUAAAAGAGUCAAAACCGGUGAUAGUUCCAACCCCUCGGGAGUCUAGCUCCAAUCCUGAUCAGGUAAUAGAUGACUUACCCAUUGCUCUUAGGAAACAACCUCAUUCAUGUACUCUCCAUCCUAUCUCGAAAUUUAUGUCUUAUAAUGCUCUUUCUGCAAAGUGUUGUGCUUUUACAACUAACCUUGAUAGAAUCCAGAUUCCUAAAAACAUUCAAGAAGCCUUGGAGAUUCCAGAAUGGAAAGAGGCAGUGAUGGAAAAAAUAAGGGCAUUGGAAAAAAACGGGACUUGGGAAGUGAUGAAUUUGCCAAGAGGAAAGAAACCAAUGGGUUGUAAAUGGGUAUUCAUAGUGAAAUAUAAGGUGGAUGGCAUAGUAGAACAAUACAAAGCCCGCCUGGUUGCAAAGGGGUUCACUCAAACCUACGACAUCGAUUAUACCGAGACAUUUGGACCAGUGGCAGAGUUGAACACUAUACAAGUUUUUUUAUCCUUGACAGCAAGUCUCAACUAGCCAUUCCAUCAGUUUGAUAUCAAGAAUGCCUUUUUGAAUGGUGAACUAGAAGAAGAAGUGUUUAUGAUGCUACCACUAGGGUUCUGUAAAGAAGAAUAAGAAACCAAGGUAUGCAAAUUGAAGAAAUCUCUGUAUGGUCUCAAGCAAUCACCGAGAACAUGAUUUGAUAGAUUUGCAAAGGUGAUUAAGAACCAAGGAUACCAACAGGGACAGACGAAUCAUACUCUGUUCUUCAAACAGUCCAAUGAUGGAAGGAUGACCAUCCUAAUUGUGUAUAUCGAUGACAUCAUUCUCAUUGGAGAUGGUAGAGGAGAAGUGGAGAGGUUGAAGAAGGUCUUAGCCAUAGAAUUUGAGUUAAAAGAUUUGGGUCAAUUGCGGUAUUUCCUAAGAAUGGAGGUCGCCAGAUCAAGGAAGGGAAUUAGUAUUUCCCAGAGAAAGUAUGUACUUGACUUGUUGAUUGAGACUGGCAUGCUGGGUUGCAAGCCAAGUGAUACCCCUAUCAAGACAAGAAAAAUGAUGGAAAACCCGUGGAUAGAGAGAUAUCAACAACUAGUAGGUAGAUUGAUCUACCUUUCUCACACUAGACCAUACAUUGCUUUCACCGUAAGCAUGGUUAUCCAGUACAUGCAUUCACCAAAGGAAAGUCAUCUAGAAGUAGUGUAUAAGAUCCUCAGAUACCUAAAGGGUUCUCCAGGAAAAGGACUAUUCUUUAAAAAGAGUGAUAGUAAAAAGAUAGAGAUCUAUAUAUAUGCAAAUUGGGCGGGAUCAGCAGAUGACAGAAUGUCUACUACAGGCUACUGUACCUAUGUCUGGGGGAAUCUAGUAACAUGGAGAAGUAAGAAUCAGAGUGUAGUAGCCAGAAGCAGUGCCAAGGCUGAAUUCAGAGCAAUUGCACAAGGUAUGUGUGAAUGACUAUGGUUGCAGAAACUGUUGGAAGAACUACACAUUACAAUAAAGCUCCUCAUUAAACUCUAUUGUGACAACAAAGCUGCCAUUAGUAUUUCUCAUAAUCUUAUUCAACACGACAAGACCAAACAUAUAGAAGUGGGCAGACACUUUAUAAAUGAGAAAUUGAGAAUGGGACUAUUUGCAUGACUUAUAUCCCUACAAGGGACCAAUUGACAUAUAUAUUUACCAAGGGGUUACAGAAAUCAAGCUUUGAAGAUUUUAUUUGCAAGUUGGAUAUGAUUAAUAUCUAUGAUCCAACUUGAAGGGGAGUAUGGAAAUCCGUGAAUGGUGAUUUGUAGGAUAUUGUGGGAAAAAUUGAAGCCCCAAUUGUGACAGAUAUUGUGGUGAUUUAUGUGAUUUUAUUUUAUUUCCAUAUUUUUAUUUUUUCCAUUUUAUUUGCUCUUUGUGUUUAUGUUAAAUAGAGACUUGAUUAUAUAAAUAUACACAAUUUUGAAUGAAUUUUUGAGUGAUUCUCAGUUUCUACAAUUCUCAGUUUCUUCAUCUUUCAAUAGUAGAUUUGUGAUUUGAGGUCUCUAACCCCAUGAUUUUUACAUUUGUUGAGUCUUUAAGAGACAAUGUGGAUGGUGUUCCAUGAAAAACUUUGAGUCUUAGUGUCAUUUUUCUUUUUUCUGAAGAAAGUAAAAAAUAAAAUAAUUUUAAGUCAAAUAAGUAACUCUUGCUCAACACCCCCUCAUCCCCUAUCUCAAGGUCAUAUAUCAUAAUCUAGAUCUAUAGAGUAAGAAAAAAUUUUAAAAAUCAAAUUUUUUUUAUCUUGCUAAAUCUAAGGUAAACCAUAGAAAGAUGGAUCUUCAAUUAAUAACCCACCUUAUUUCAAUGGCAAUAACUACCCACAUUAGAAGACUUGUAUAGAUUUUUUCUUGAAAAUACAAGGAGAACAAGUUUGGAACUUAGUGGAAUUUUGAUGGGGGCCACCAAAUAAAUUGGAUGGUACUAGAAGAUUUAGAAAAGAAUUCAAGCCCAAAUAGGAAUUGGACAAACUAUAUAAUAAGGGCAGUGAAGCAAAUGUUCAUGCUCUCUAUAGUAUCUUUAAUGGGGUUAAACCUAAUGAAUUUCACAAGAUAGCCACAUGUAAGUGUGCUAAAGCAACCUAGGAUAUUCUGUUAGUUACUCAUGAGGGCACUUUAGUUGUGAAGUUGUUCAAAGUUCAAAUGCUUAUUAUAAAGUUUGAAAGCAUAAGAAUGCAAGAAGAUGAGACUUUCUCUACUUUCUAUUAUAAGCUUAAUGACAUAGUCUACUCAAGCUUUAACCUUAGGAGUAGAUUCUUGAGCCUAAAGUAGAAUGAAGAAUAUUGAGAUCUCUCUUCGAGAGAUUCAAACCUGAGGUUACAACUAUUGAAGAAAGCAAGGGCACUAACUCUAUGAGAGCUAAUGAUGAAUUUGUGGGAUCUUUUCAUAUGAGAUGUUCAUUCCUAAUACUCAAAAGCCAUAAGAACCUGCUUGUAAGGCUUCUAAUAAUGAAGAAAAUGAGUCUACAAGCCUUAAUUUAGUUGAUAGAGAAGAACUUGAUUUAUUGUCAAGAAGAAUUAAAGAUACCAUGAGAUUUUUGAAAAAACUCUUCCAAAAACAAGACUUAAAGAAAGGAAAAAAAAGUUUACUAUUCCUUUAAGAAAAGAUAAGGUCAUCUUUAAGGGAAAAAAAUAUUGAAUGUUUUAAUAGUGGAGGUAUAGAUCAUCCAUUUUGUCCUUGUAACACAUGCUUUUGAUCAUACUUAGUACCCCUCACCUUGCACCUUCAUUUAGUACAUGUGCAUGAUCCUCAUUUUGCUUAUUUGUUCUUGUGCUCCUUGGUGGUUUGCUUGUUACUCACUUUUGGAAUUGACUCUUAGACAACUUUUGGAGACCUUUUGGAGAAGCUUUUAGAUCCAUAAAGUGACUUUAGUGGUACUUUAGGAGUUCCCAAAGUUUCAGCGUAUUUAACACACUUGGGCCCUUUUUUAGCUUCAACCAAUCGAGGGAAUUGAUUCAACCAAUUCAACCAGUUGCAACUGGUCUAGGCAACUGAUUCAACUGAUAACUUAACCAGUUCAUUAUGUUUUACCCUUUACUUCCUUCUUUUGGCCCAUUUUUUAGUCCUAUUUUUUCUUACCUUUUUUAAGGAGGUUUUUAGGUUUGUUUUGGAAAGGUUUUGAGGGCCUAAACUUGGGUUUUAGGUAUCCUUAAUUUGGGUUUAGUUUAAGAGAGUUUGAAGGUGAAUUUGAGUCUUGGUGGAAAUAAUAACAUGUGUCAAAAUUUUCACCAUUCCUUAGCCUAUAAAUAAGGUCAUUGAGGCUCUUUUUCCCUGUUUUGGCCUUUUUUUUUUUAGUUUUCUUUUUCUUACCCUUUUUAAGAAGGCUUUAGGCUUGUUUUGAAGAGGUUUUGAGGACCUAAACUUGGUUUUAGGUCUCCUUAAUUUGGGUUUAGUUUAAGAGACUUUUAAGGUGAAUUUGAGCCUUGGUGGAGAUAAUGACAUGUGUCAAAAUUUCCACCAUUCCUUAGCCUAUAAAUAAGGUCCUUAGGGCUCAUUUUCAAGGGACUUUUCUUUGGAUUUUUUAAGUACUCUAUCCAAUUUUUGAGAAAAAAAAUAAGAAGAGGAAAAACCUUUAUAUUUAAAGAAAACUUAGCUUAAAGGAGGGUUCUUAGUUGACUAGAAGUCGAGUGAUUCACUUGUGAGGAGAUCUCUUGUAAGUUCUUCUUGAUUUCAUUUUCUUCUAUUUAGUUUUAACUUGUUUUCAUUUUUCUUUUGAUUAUUAAGAUGAUGAGUAUAUUAGUUAUCGAUAUUGAAAGGUCACAUGCUUGAUUUUGGAUUUUUGUUCUUCAUAUGUGGAUUCUCAUUUUCUUUUCUUCAUGUGUCCACUUUGCAUAGACUCUAACCUUGAGAAGAUAUUGAGCCUAUGUUGAAAUCAAUAGGAGGCUUUGAAUUAUGGGUAAGACCCUAAAGUGAUCAAAUAUCCCUAUAGAUUGAGUCACUACUGAUGGAAGUUGGUGGCAAUAGGUAUUCUCAAUAUAGGCACUAUGUUAUUUCAUGAGAUUGAGAUAACGUGUCCCCUUAGGUCAUCCAAAGGACAUGUGACUAUGAAAUUUGUGGUCAUAGUAAUCCAUUUAGUGGAGUUUGGCAUAUGUUUCUUGCAGUUAGAGUAUGUAAGUUGAUCACAUAAUAAAACAUUCAUAACUCAAGGAUUGGAGAGGUAAUCUUGAUGGGUUAAUAGCACUACCCUAUUAGAUUACAAACACCAGUUCAUGGGGAGUCCAUAUGUAAUGGAUAGUACGUAGGUCAUAAACCCAAACUUUGUCUCAUUUUAAUUUCAUAUGAUACUAAAGUGUAGUUGACUCUCUUUAGUGAAGUAUUGAGUCAACUUUAGGAUUGGGUUG